Molecule: long non-coding RNA, 69080 nt
Filed under: Gossypium barbadense (sea-island cotton)
Lineage: Eukaryota; Viridiplantae; Streptophyta; Magnoliopsida; Malvales; Malvaceae
Source: RNAcentral
AAUGAUAACCUAUGAGUAUUUGCACAAUUUAAAUACUUAUAACUAUAUCAACUCAAUAAGAUUCAUAUACAUAACAUCAUCUACCACUUAGGCAUUAUACAUACCUGAAGCUUCUCGUACUUAUUCACUUUUGUACUUACCUCAUGUUGAAUGUUAUAAGACUUUCCAUAAGUUAUUUUUAUUUUAUACAUCAGCACACUUAAUGCUAUAAGGUUAGCCGAAGCUAAAUAUUUCUGCACACUUAGUGUCAUCUCAAAUAACCGAGACUAAGUCAGUAUCGCACACUUAGUGCCCAAGCUAGUUUAAAUCGCACACUCAGUGCCAAAACUUCCGUUUGAUCACCAUAUUAUCCAAUUCAAUUAUAUACUACCUAUGUAUAAUAAAGACAUCAAAACAUACUUAACAUCAUAUUUUAGGUACGAACUUACCUCGUAUUUGAAAUUUGUCGACUCGGACUAUCUACUCGAUAACUUUGACUUUCCUCAAUCUAAGUCCAAAUUCCUCCUUUCUUGAUCCAAAUUAAGCUUCCAAUGUGCCGAAACCUAAAAGCCAUUAUUCUUUCUUUUUGUUCUUCAAUUUCGGUGGAUGAACACAUAUAUAACAUGACUUUCUAAUUUGUUUUCAUAUAAAUUACUUUAGUAAACAUUUUCCCAUUUUGCCCUUUUAUAAACAAUUAUAAAUUCACCUAAUACAUGCCCUUAUAAGUCCAUUCAAACUUUCAAUGGCCAAAUAACCACAUAAGGACCUUACUCUAGAAAGCCAACUCAAAUAAGCAUUUAAACAUUUAGCACACAGCUUUUAUAUUUUAUGCGAUUAGGUCCUUUUUACAAAUUAAGCACACAAAUAGUUAAGUUUUUACACGAGACUUCCACACAUGUCAAUUUACUUACCAAAUACAUGAAAAUUAAUUAAAAUAUUUUUUUCUAACUCAGAUUUGUGGUCCCAAAACCACUAUUUCGACUAGGGUUAAAAUCGAGCUGUUACAGCCUCCUCAACAACAAAUGACCAGCAUGCAUCGGCACCACAUCACACACAACCUCAUCACUAUACUUGCCAAUAAAAAAGGCAACAAUGGCUUGCUUGGUGACUUCGAGUUCUCCUCUGAUAUGGACACACCUCCCGAGUUAUCUGCUGCUAAUGUAGAUCCUCUCGAGUUACCCGUAGGACUGAUCACCCGAGCUCGAGCAAAGAGAUUCAAAGACGCAACAAUAGCCUUAGUUGAUAGAGUUUGGGGUGAAACCGUUGCUGGACUUCUUGAAAGCUCUUGGACCAGAAAGCCAAGCAAACCAUGCAUACUCCUUCAAGCUCAAAUCAGCUCAACUUCAACUUAACUUAGCUCAACGAGCUCGUUUCAGCUCAUUUCAUUAUUGCGUUUAUUAUGCUGGAAUAAAUCAUUUAAGUUGCUGUUAGUUAAAUUAGUUAUUUAGUUUAAUAAUUAAUUUGUCAUAAUCUGGACAUGCUUUAAUUAUGUUCUAAAUUAAGUACAUAAUUAAUUAUGACCAAUUAAAUAUGUCUUAACUAUUACAAAGAUUAAUUAUGUCCAGCCUAAUUUAUGGUGCAGGAUUUAUUUGUUUUAUGUUGCCAAAUUUAAUGUGUCUAAAAGGGAUUUAAUUUGCUGAUUUAAUUGUUGUAGGUACAUUACCCCUUGGACGGCAUAGGUGCAUGGAUGAUUUAAAGAUGGUGUGCUGAUCUUUGGUGUCCCCUAAGUGACCAUUCGGCCAACCCUUACAACUCUUCAAGAAGACCGAUUGGCUGCCCAAGAUAAAUUAAGGCUGUUCACACCCACCCGAUUAUUCCUUUCACACCAAGGGCUGUUCGGUUUUGUUUGUUCAUACAUGUGUGGCUGUUCAAAUCAAUUUGUUCACAUUCUAAGACUAUUAAAGUGCUCUAGACAGCUCCUUAAUCACAUGAACAUUCGGCUGAACCAAGCAGCAGCAUUAAAUCAAAUUCAAGCACUUGGCUGAACCUAUUGAUUGCAUUUUAGCUCCCAAACAACCCAUUCAAUUUUCCUAUUGAAUCAAGGCAUCUAGAAGCUGCCCCUUGCCUUUCUCUAUGCACAAAAAACUUUAAGGAAGCUUCAUCAGAAAUUCUAUAAUUUUCAGCUAACCAUUUAGCUACCUCAAGAGCCUAUUCGGCUAUCCCUUGUAUUCACUAUAAAUUUUGGCUUGUGUUACUUUGUAGAAGACUUUUUCCAAAUUUAUAGUCGAACCUUUGUUUUUUUUAGAAUUUUCUUCUCUAAGUCUCAUUUAAGAUUUUGUUGGCUUAUCUACCUAGUAGUGGCGUCAACCUAUUUCUUUUACGAAACCGAACUUAUCACUAGUUUUAGUGUGGCAUUCAAAACCCUUUAUACCGAGGUUCCUCUCUGCCUAGAUAGUGGAUCGAGGUCCAUUUUGUUUCAACCAUCCCUUCUUAAGAACUCAUAAGUCUCGGGUCGAUAUUUGCUAAUAUCGGUUCAACUUGUUCUUAGGACCAACCUUACCAUACUUUCGUCCAUUUCCCAAAUAUUCCAUUCAACCAUAUUUCAUUCCUUUUUUUUUCGAACCAAAACCAAGUUACCAAUAAUGAUACGAUCACGGCUUCCCAUAAGUCAAGUCCAAGCCGAGAUCCGAUGGUGCUACCUCAAGGGCCGAUCACAAGGGCUCGUGCAAAACAAUUUAAAGAAGCCGUUAUAGCUUUAGUUCAGCAUGUGUGGGAUGAUGUCAAUGCUAGACCUAUCGAACCAGUUAGUGGCCAUUUUGGAAAUCCAUGCCGAACUUUUCUACAAGUUCAGUUUAGCUCACCGAGCUCACCUUCAGUUCAAGUUAGCUCCCAUGUAGCUCCACACCAGCUCAUUAGCUCGGGACCAACUCAUUAUCAGCUCACGAGUUUAAGCCCAACUCGAGUUUAACUCAUGAAUUAACCAUCAGCUCAUGGAGUUCACUUUGAAUUCAUUUGACUACUAUUGACUUUUUAAUUAAUAAGUUCAAUAAUUAGUUAAUUAAUAUCCUACAUAUUAAAUUUAGUUCACAUUAGUUAUAUUAAGUAUGUCUUAAAAGUGUUUAUUAUGAUAAUUAAAUUUGUCAUAACCGAAUUUAAUGUUGAUAUUUGUGUUCACAUUAGUUUGAAUUAAUUAUGUUCACAUUUCUUGUAGGAACGCAAUGGACAUAUGGAGAUUAAAAGCAAGCAUGAAUUUUGAAGGUGCAUGGACGGUUGGGGGGCGGCCAAGUGCAUGUAUGACCAUAUUCAAUGUCUUUAAGGUUCAUGAAUGUUUCCAUUCAUGUAUGGUGUGCUAUCUCUUCAUUCUCCAAGGUGACCAUUCGGCCAAAGGGCACUCACACAUGCAUGAAGAUAGCUUGGCCAAUUAGCUUCCCCAUGACUCUCCUUAAUUCGUUCACACCUAUGUUCACAUGGCAAGACCAUUCAGUUCACCUUGUUCACACUAGAAGACUCUUCAACAUUCGGUUUCACACACAUGAUGGCCCUUGGAGUGUCCACAAUUAAUUCAUGCUUUUUGGCCAAACAUUGCUUCAUUUAACAAGGUUGGCCGAAUCUACAAGUGACCCUUGGAUAUCAUGCAUUCACUUUGAGUUUUCUUAAGCAUGAAGAUGCAUUCAUCAACCAUUCCCAAAACUGAAUCUGGUCAUGCAUAUUAAGAGUUAUUUUUCUAGAAUUUUCUUUAAUUAAUGUGUAAGCAUGAAAGGCCAAUCGGCUACCUAGACUUAGGCCUAUAAAUACUUGUUCAAUUUCCAUGUAAAAGACUUUUGAAACUUUUGUUAAUGUUAUGCUGCCGAAAUUGUGAGGCAUACUUUUCUUAUAUUUCGUUCAAAGAUUCGUUUGGCGUUCCUAGCGUUCUAGUUGUGUCAACCGUGUUCUUUGUCGUACCCGAACUUAUCACUAUUCGUAGUGUGGCGUUCAACAUACCGAGGUUCCUAUCUUGUUAGAUAGUGGGUCGAGGUUUCCCUUACCAAACCUAUAACCGAACUCAAAAGGCUAAAUCAACGGGUCGAUACCAUUUCGGUAUUUGGUUCUUGAAAGUACCUUUAGUAGUUCAAACCCGUUCUUUCUUCUUUACCUAAUCGAACCUAAAUCGACCAAUUUGUUCAUACCAUUUUGUUCCUACCCUUUCGUUCCUACCAUUCCAUUCGUACCCCUCUUUCUACUCUGACUAUACCUUCAACUCAACUAAUCCUAACGUAACUUCUCGUAGACGAUCGGGCAAUCUAUAUACAACUCAACCCUUCUCGAGACGGUUCGUAUCAAAUAACCUAACUCCUUUUCUUUCUAAACUUAAGAUUAAUUAACCAUCUUUGAACCCAAUUUAAACAACCAAAUUAACUUCAAUCCAAAUUUUCUAUUUCCUUCUAUUUCCGUCGACACUUUCUUGUAGACGAUCGGGCAUCUAUCAUACGACUCAAUUCAAGCUGAGUGAGCUCGUAUCAUUUGGUAUCAAAGCUACCUAAAAUGAGAAGUUUGAAAGUUCGGAGCACCUCUGGAGUAGGUUCGUAAAAAAAAGAGUAAAAAAAGAAAAAAAUUUUACUUCGUGAAAUUCAAGUAUUAUAUUGUAAUUAUCAUUUUAGUACUUUAUUAAAUAUAUAUAUAUAAAUUUACUUCGUGAAAUUCAAGUAUUAUAUUGUAAUUAUCAUUUUAGUAGUUAUAAAAAAAGUAUAUUAUAAAAAAAAUUUGAAAAAAAUUUGAAAAAAAAUUCAAAAAAAAUAGAGGUAAUUUAUGCAAUUCGAUUGUUAUUUGAACGUCAAGCCUUGAUUUGAUAUAGUUCCCGAUCCACCUUCUAUUCUAAUCUCUCUAAUCAUAUACACGCCACACUUUUAACCCAAUUCCCUAUUCUUUCAGCCCACCCUAAACCUAUACGCAUAUCCAUUGUUUACCCCAUUUGAAAUCAACUCUCAGACUAGAAGAUCAAGCCUAGUAAAAUCCUUUACGAGGUUAUAAGAGAAGAAAGGAGUGGAAAAAGGCACAAGUGAGUGAGCGCAUUCAAGGGGACGUAAAAGCCAAACGAGCGUAAACACGAGUGUGAGUGCCAUCAUUCUUUCUUUCUGAAAGAUCUUGUGAGGUUUGUGGUGAGGUUACAACAUGUCGUGAAGUUCGGAACGUAACAUGAAUGAAGGACUACCUAGACAACCUUUAAGGAACGUGGCUCCCGGAGGCGGAGAAGUCCCUGAUUUAGGCCAGCAAGCCCUCCUAAGGGAAAUCCAAAAUAUGUUCAGCAAUGAAUUCGAGUCCAUAAAUGAAAGACUAGACCGAGUUGAAGAGAGGGGGCGACCAGAAAGAACACCUCAAGGCCCUAGACGUGAAAGAGGCCGAGCAAGGCCAUUCGAAGAUGAGAUGUAUGACCCAAGUGAUUUAGAAAGCGACCAAGGUUCAAACCAAAGUGAACGACGCUGAGGUUAGUGGAAUCGGGGUCAAAGGGAUCGAGGCCGAGUUGAUGAUGAUUUGAAGAACAUUAAGCUCUCCAUACCACCCUUCCAAGGCAAGUCUGAUCCGGAGGCGUACUUGGAGUGGGAAAAGAAAAUAGAAUUGGUGUUCGACUGCCAUAACUACUCGGAGGCCAAGAAAGUCAAGUUGGCGGCAAUCGAAUUCUCCGACUACGCCAUGGUGUGGUGGGACCAAUUGACAACAAGUCGAAGACGAAACGGAGAGAGACCAAUCUCAACAUGGCAAGAGAUGAAGGUGGUGAUGAGAAAAAGAUUUAUCCUGUCUUAUUCCAUCGAGAAUAAUACCAAAAGUUGCAAAACCUUACGCAAGGCCACCGAAGCGUGGAGGAUUAUUUUAAAGAGAUGGAAGUAGCAAUGAUUCGUGCGAACGUGGAAGAAGACCGCGAGGCAACCAUGGCUAGGUUCUUAGCCGGGCUAAAUUGAGAGAUUGCUAAUGUGGUAGAGCUUCAGCACUAUGUCGAGGUGACUGACAUGGUUCAUGUUGUGAUUAAAGUUGAAAAACAACUCAAGAAUAAAAGUUCCAUUCGGACCUAUGCCAACCCUGCAAAAAACUCAAAGUGGGGACAAGGUACGAGCAAAAAGGACUUCCCUAAUCACCCGAAGGAACAAAACCAUCAUGCAAAGUUUAACAAACCCAUUGGUGAAUCAAGCAAAGGCAAAGAAGUUUCCAAUCCAAAUCACACGAGGGACAUCAAGUGCUUUAAGUGCUUGGGAAAAGGGCAUAGCGCUAGUCAAUGCCCUAACCGAAGAACAAUGGUGAUGAGUCUAGCGGUGAAAUCGAGUCGAAAGAUGAGAAAGAAGAAGAAUCUGACACCCCUGUCAAUGAUAAAGAAGGCGAUCUUGAAUAUGUCGUCGAAGGUGAAAUCCUUGUAAUCAAACGUAGCCUAAGUUUACAAAGUGCGGAGAAUGAACAACAACUCGAGAAUAUCUUCCAUACGCGCUGUCUCGUGCAAGGCAAGGUAUGUAGCCUUAUUGUGGAUGGCGGGAGUUGUACCAAUGUCGCUAGUACGUUAAUGGUAGAGAAACUUGGCUUGGCCACAACGAAGCACCCUUGUCCGUAUAAGCUUCAAUGGCUUAAUGAUGGUGGAAAGUUGAAGGUGACAAAACAAGUAUUGGUGUCGUUUUCCAUCAGAAAAUACAAUGAUGAAGUUCUCUGCGACGUGGUUCCCAUGCAUGCCGGGCACCUUUUGCUAGGUCGUCCAUGGCAAUUUGAUCGAAAGGUGGUACAUGAUGGCUACACCAACCGAUACACCUUCAAGCAUUUAGGCAAGAACAUCACUUUAGCACCUUUGACACCGAGACAAGUAUACGAAGAUCAAGUGAAAUUGCGUGGUUCAAUUGAAAAAAUUAAAGAGAAUGGAAAGAAAGAAAAGAGUGAAAAGGUGUGUGAAAAAGUGAGUGAAAAUAAAUGAGGGAAACAAGUUGUAAAAAUGAGAGAAAAGAAUAAAGAUCAAGAAAAACAAAAGAGUGAAGAAAAAAUGAGUGCAAAAAUGAGUGUUUAUGCAAAAGGGAGUGACAUUCGAAAAUCCUUCAUGUUGAGGCAGCCUAUACUUGUACUCAUGUACAAGGAAUCAUAUUUGAAUACUAAUGAAUUAGAUGCUGCUUUUGAUGUGAUCCGGCUCGGGAUGAUGAGUCGAAUUCACUCAGUUGCCCGAUCGUCAUUUGAGAGAGUCGUUCGUGCUUCGGGUUUUAGAACUAGAAGUGAAUGAAAAGAUACGGGUAAGCGGAAGGUUUCAAAGUAGGGUGAAUUUAGUAAUAGAUUCGAUUUAGUACCAAAGAUGGAUGAUGGUUAAAUGGCUCGGUUUGGAAUAAUAAGAAAAUAAUUUGAAGGAUGGGAAUGGAAAACGAACUUAACGUCAGGAAUGAUUCAACAUUAAGAAGUGUCACCCUGGUUCCUAUAUUGUUAAGGUGAAAAGAUGGAUAGAUGGAUAGGUGAACGCCACACCAAGAUUGGUGAUAAGUUCAAACAAGACGAUUGACGCCAUUAGCACAAGCCAGAUAAGUCUUUCGAAACUUGUACGAGAUAUGAGAGGAAGCAACCUCACAAGAACAAAUGUUCAUUAACAAAUUUGGCAAAAGUCCUUUACAAAUGAAAUCAACAAACUAUUUAUACUAAUUUCUUAUGCUAACUGAAUAGUCCAUUCAUGAACUUAACGAUUAAGUAAUGAACCUAAUUAAGACAUGAACCUUCUAGAAAAAUGACCAAUGGUGUCCUUGUCCAUGUUCGGCCGAAUGGGAGAUGAAUGGGCAGCUUCAUGUAUGAGCAAGCUUUGGAAACCAAUGGGAUUGUCUAGGUUCGGCCAUGGGAUGCAUGAAACUCCCAAAGGGUGUCUCUUGGCCGAAUAGGUGCUUAGGAAACUCCAAGGGUCCUCCCUCAUGCAUCGGUUGUACAUGGAACUUGGAAGGGGCCUUGAACCUAGCCGUACAUGCACUUGCAUUGAUUACCCCCAUUCAUGCAUGUGUGCCGUCCAAGGGAGAUGCACCUUUCAAUAUGCAUUAACCUUCCAUGUACAUGAAUGUAUGUCCUCCAAACAUUGAACCGGUCCAUGCAUGUAUCCUCCCGUUCAAUGAACUUUCCCGUUCAUGCACCUUGCAUUAAAUGCCAUGAAUGUGUCUUCCAAAUUCGGCUAACUUAAUUUAUUGAAAUGAAAAAGGAAUGAGCUGAAACGAGCUAAAUUCGAGCUCAAACGAGUUAAAAUGAGCUCAAGUGAGCUGAUGGGAACUGAAUGGCGCAUGGGGGAGCUGAAGAGGAACUAAGGUUGGAUUGCAAAAUGGUGCAUGGAGUCUUCAAGGAGUUAUUCUUAGCUCCUCCAACGUUAUAGAGCUGGUUAUCAUCCCAAAUGCGCAUCACAAAGGCUGAUAUAGCAUCUUGAAGUUGCUUGGUUUGAGCUCGGGUCAUGGGACCUUUUGGCAGCUCAAUAGAUCCUUGGUGUGCAUUCGAGGAUGCCCCGGGUGUGCUCACAUCAACUUUACCUUCUUCUGUUGUCUCUCUCUUGUAGGAAUUUGAAGAUGUAUUUCCUAAAGAAGUUCCGAGUGGCUUACCACCUAUUCGGGGAAUAGAACAUCAAAUCGACUUCAUUCCUAGAGCGUCUAUACCAAACCGAUCGGCUUAUCGUAGUAAUCCCGAGGAGACCAAGGAGCUGCAAAAACAAGUGAAUGAACUCCUUGAAAAGGGAUUCAUCCGCAAGAGCCUUAGUCCAUGCGCUGUACCGGUUUUGUUGGUGCCGAAAAAGGAUGGGACUUGGCGCAUGUGAGUUGACUGUCGCGCCGUGAACAAAAUCACGAUUAAGUAUCAUCAUCCAAUACCGCGCCUAGAUGAUAUUGUAACAACCUCACGCCCGAGACCAUCGCCAGAGUCGAGCUUGAGUUGUUACUAAACUUAAUUUAUCAUUUAAAGAAUUUUAAAUCAAUUGUUCCAACUUUCGUAAUAAACUGUCAAUCUGCGACACAGUAGCUUAAAAAUUCAUAUCUCGAGUUCCAAAACUCAAAAUUAAGAUCUAUAAAUUUUUCCUGAAACUAGACUCAUAUAUCUAUCUACUAAUAUUUUUCUAGAAUUUUUGGUUGGGCCAAUUAGUACAGUUUAUUAGUUAAAGUUUACCCUAUUUCAGCAUUUGACUGCUUUGACCUUUGUUCACUACGAACCACUUUUCUCUUUGUACAGAACUCAAAAGACUAUUCUGUUUAUUUCUCUUAAGACUAGACUCAAUAAGGAAUCUUUACAUAUAAAUCAUGACUUCUAAUUAUAUUUUUAAAAUUUUUAGUGAAUUUCUAAAGUCAUAAUAGGGGAUUUAGAAAUCGUUCUAGCCCUAUUUCACAAAAAUUUAAAUAUCUUAUAAAAUAUAACUCAUUUACCUAUUUCAUUUCCUUCAUAUGAAAAUAGACUCAUCAAGAUUUGAUUCCAUAACUUAUUCAUCAUUUAAUUCUAUUUAUACUAUUUUUAGUGAUUUUUCAAAUUUACAUCACUGCUGCGGCAAUAUUCUGUUUUAUAACAAAUUUUACUUUACUAUAGAUUUUCAUGGACUAAAUAGCAUUUUAAAUAUACAUGACAUCAAAUAUGAUUUAGAUUGGCCAUUCCAAUGGCUAAUCAUUUACAAACCCUUUUCUUUUCAAACCAUAACCAUAUUAUAAGAUCAUUUACACAAAGUGAGUAUAGUGCUAUACAUGCCACACUCAAAAUAUACAAGCCAUUUUACCAAUUUAGGGCUUCGGAUAGUGUGAAGGAGCCUUCGACCUAUCCCGAUUCUCAAGCCGGCUUGUCAAAACUAUAAUGAAUGAAAAGGAGGGAGUAAGCAUAAAUGCUUAGUAAGUUCACAUGCAAAUAACAAGUAACAUAAUCAUGCAAUCCAACAUAAACAUCAUUAAGACACUCAUGUCAUAAGAAUACUUACUAUCUUACCACAAUUUUGUCUUACCAAAUUCUCAACCAAGGAUUAAACUCAUACCUGUUCAUUUUCACUUCUUCAACACGUUCCUCAUCGAAUCACUUUCGUUUUAAGUACUCUCUCUAUUCUCUUAUGAUUCUCCCGUUGAACACAUUGGAAUAUAAUUUUGGAUACGCAGAUAGUGUGCACGUAAGUGCUAUACUCAUAGCUAAACAAGCUCAAUAGCUUUUGAAAUCUAUGUAGUCAAGCUACCAUGUAAGCCGCCCAUAAACGAACUCGGACUCAACUCAACGAGCUCGGGUGUUCGCAUCCAUAAGUGAACUCGGACUCAACUCAACGAGUUCGGAACUCAACCAUCCUAGUGACAUGUCACUUGUACCCUAAUCUAUUCUCAAGGUUCAAACGGGAUUCUUCUCAAUUACACAUUUUGAUCGCCUUCUUCGAAAUAUAGAAACCGAUAUUUGCUAGCAUCUCAUACUUAUCAAGUUGUUCAUAUAAUUUUCAUAUUAUCAAACAAUAAUUCACAAAGCAUAAUAUUUCAUGGUAAUAAAUAUCAUAUCAUAUAAAUAACAUUAAAUAACUUAAAAUAAAAAUUAUGUUACUUUAUUUACACAUGAACUUACCUCGAUACAAAAUUUUAGCAAUCGAGCCUAUUCCUCGUAAACUUUGUUUUUCCAUCGAUCAUGACUUGAAUCUUGUUUCUCUUGAUCUAUAAUACCAAAUUAAUUUAUUUAAUACAUACAUUCAUCAAAACAGCCCCUAGUAUGAACUUUGGCAAAAUUACCAUUUUACCCCUAAACUUUCACAUAUUUACACUUUUACCCCAAGGCUCGUAAAUUAAACCUCAUCCUAUUUUCUUAUGUUUUAUGACAUGCUGAUCAUUUUUGAUGCGAGUGCGCCCAGCGAACCUCUUCGAACAAGUCUCCCUAGUCGAGUCGUGACAUGUUGGCAAGCUGAUCCCAGCUCGUUUCCAGCUCCACGAGCUCCAUCCAGCUCAAAUCCAGCUCAUUCAAACGCAAUCUAGUUGCCUGAGCUAAACCGAGCUUACUCCUAGCUCAUUUUCAACUCACGAGCUAAACCUUAGCUCAACUUCAGCUUAGGAGUUUAACCUCAGCUCAACUUUAGCUCAAGGGCUAAAGCUUAUCUCAUUUUAGCUCAAACCCGAUUUUUGACUUUAAUUGAUUAAAUAAAAUUCGAAUAUAUUUAUUUAAGCAUUAAAUUUGUUUUAUAUUAAUAUUUGUUAUUAAUAUGUCAUAUAUAUCACAUAUCUUAAAUGUGUUCACAUUGUGCUGAAAUUAUGUGUGUUCACAUGAUGUCUUAUGAAUUAUUUUAUUUCUUGUAGGUGCAAUGCUCAUGGACAGCGCAAUGAAUGCUUGAAGCAACAUCUCUUUUGGACAUCCCACAUGCAUGAAUGAACAACAUUUAAUUAGGUGCAUGCAUGACCAGAUUCAAGGUGUUUACAAGUUCAUGUAUUUGUCAAAUACAUGAAUACACAAAAUACAUGAAUGUUUGGGUUCAAAUACACAUUUGGUUACAUGAAUGAUGAAGAUUCAUGCAUGAAUGUAUCUAGAAGAUCCAAUCCCUUUGGACGGUACACAUUCAUGCAUGGAAGGAAAUUAAUGCAAGUUCAUGUAGGGCUUGGUGCAAUGUAUGAAGAGGUGCAUGUAGAAUUGAGGUUCAAUGGACGACAUUUAAGGGAGUACAUGUAUUGGAGACGUUCAUGCAAGUAGGGGCUAUUUAAUGUUCAUCUUUUUGAAGGUUCAUGGACAGAAUUUAUGGAGGAACAUACAUUAGGACGUUUCAUGCAUGAUCCAUGCAUUUUCAAGCUAACCAUUCAAGUAUUCAAGGUGCAUUAAAGCUUCAUUCGGCCAAGGGGGAUUAUGGAACAUUAAAGGGCUGUACAUUCAUGGAUAUUCAUGAUUUUUAUUCUAGAAUUAUCUAGGUGUUUAUGGCCGAAUUUCUUAGCUUCUAAGCUUGUCCAUUCGUCUACUUUUAUUUAGGCUAUAAAUAUAUGUUAUUUCAUUUGUAAGAGGUUAGACUUUUCACUUAAUGAAACUUUGUUAAACUUUCAUGGAAUUUGUGAGAUUUCUUUCUCUCAUAUUUCGUUGAGGACUUCGUUGGCUUAUCUAGGAAGCCUAGUGGCAUCAACCCUAUUCUUCACUAUCCCAAACUUAUCACUAUCAAAUAGUGUGGUGUUCACCCAUAUACCGAGGUUCCUACUUUGUUAAGUAGUGGAUCGAGGUUCUAUCAUUUUCAUUUUUACCUUGAAAGCUUUCCUGCGCAACUUAGGUGGAAGGCAAAGAAGGCCUCCUUUCGAGAGGGCCCGAGCCAUCAGUGAGAUACCACUCUGGAAGAGCUAGAAUUCUAACCUUGUGUCAGGACCUACGGGCCAAGGGACAGUCUCAGGUAGAUAGUUUCUAUGGGGCGUAGGCCUCUCAAAAGGUAACGGAGGUGUGCAAAGGUUUCCUCAGGCCGGACGGAGAUUGGCCCUCGAGUGCAAAGGUAGAAGGGAGCUUAACUGCAAGACCCACCCGUCGAGCAGGGAUGAAAGUCGGCCUUAGUGAUCCGACGGUGCCGAGUGGAAGGGCCGUCGCUCAACGGAUAAAAGUUACUCUAGGGAUAACAGGCUGAUCUUGCCUAAGAGCUCACAUCGACGGGAAGGUUUGGCACCUCGAUGUCGGCUCUUCGCCACUUGGGGCUGUAAUAUGUUCCAAGGGUUGGGCUGUUCGCCCAUUAAAGCGGUACGUAAGCUGGGUUCAGAACGUCGUGAGACAGUUCGGUCCAUAUCUGGUGUGGGCGUUAGAGCAUUGAGAGGACCUUACCCUAGUACGAAAGGACCGGGAAGGACCCACCUCUGGUGUACCAGUUAUCGUGCCCACGGUAAACACUGGGUAGCCAAGUGCGGAGCGGAUAACUGCUGAAAGCAUCUAAGUAGUAAGCCCACCCCAAGAUGAGUGCUCUCCUAUUCCGACUUCCCCAGAGCCUCCGGUAGCAUAGCUGAGACGGCAAAGGGUUCUCUGUCCCUGCGGGGAUCGAGUGACAGAAGUUUUGAGAAUUCAAGAGAAGGUCACGGCUAGACGAGUCGUUUAUCAUUACGAUAGGUGUCAAGUGGAAGUGCAGUGAUGUAUGCAGCUGAGGCAUCCUAACAGACCAGUAGACUUGAACCUUGUUCCUACAUGACCCGAUCAAUUCGAUCAGGCACUCGCCAUCUAUUUUCAUUGUUCAACUCUUUGACAACACGAAAAAUCCAUUGUUCAACUCUUUGACAACAUGAAAAAACCAAAAGCUCUACCCUCCCUCUCUAUCUAUCCAUGGGAUAGAAGGGCGGAGGCCUUUGGUGUCCCCUCCAGUCAAGAAUUGGGGCCUCAUAAUCACUAGCCAAUAUGCUUUUCCUUUUCUUGCACGCCUUUCUUCAUUCAUGGUUCGAUAUUCUGGUGUCCUAGGCGUAGACGAACAACACCAAUCCUGAUACGGGGUUGCACGUGGACCAAGAUCGAGUUGCCAAGUCACGAGAAACUCCUACGAAAGCUCUAAAUGAACAGAUCUGAAAUCAAACAAAGAACGAGAUUAAAUCUGGAAAAUUAAAAUCUAGAAUAAGAACCCUAAAAAAAUCAGCAAGAUCUAAUCAAGGAACGAAACACUUAUGAAAGAGGUUUCUUGAAACCAAGAACACGAAAUUGAUUCCCAAGAAUGAACUCCCACAAGCCGAAUCUGCCAAGAACACCAAAACAGUAAGUAGAUUGAAACAAUCAGAUUUUUAAUUGGAAGAUUAGGGAUUUGGGCGGCAAAAAAAAAAAGAAAAGAAAGAAAUAGGUGAAAUUGAACAGUUCAAGAAGUGAAUUUAAGUUGCGAUUCGGUCCAAUUGAACACCCAAUAUGAAUUGCCCAAAUUUUAGCAGCCGAAUUUCACCCAACAAGAAGAAAUAGAAAACGGCAAGAACCCUAAAUUUUGGGGAAUUUUGAGUCGAUUAUAUGUGGCCAAUAAAAGAACCGAUUAAAUGAAGAGUUCUUGGAGUUUGAAUCAAGGCUGAAACACAAACAAGAACAGCAAAAUAUUAGAUGAUGAAUCGGCACAAGUAGGAAUAAAGAAACAAAUCGAAACAGCAAGAAAUAAAGAAAAGUCCUAAGAACCCUUGAAUUCCCGAAAGAAUUCACAAAUUCCUUCAAACGGCUCUAAUCUCCCCUCCAAAGAAUAUCGAUGGCAAGAAGAAGGUUGAAGAUGGCUCCCACAAUCAAAAGAUUGUUAAAACAACUUCUAAAGAAAACUCAAGAGAGAAUUCUUGGAGAAAACCCCAAAGAAAAUUCUACACUCAACAAAUCUGAAAUUUGAUAGAAAAAAAUAAUAAUAAGAUGUGUUUACAAAGGGUGGCUGGCCAAUGCUUAUAUAGGCCUCCAACAAAUCCUAAUCUCACAAGUAACUAAUAAAAAUUAAACCUAAUUAAUAAAAUAACAAGGUAAAUUCGGCCAUGCACUUAUAUGGGCUGUUUUGGGCCGAAUUUUACAUGUAAUGCUCCUAAAGAUUAAAAAAUUAAAUUAAACAAGUAGGAUGUUUACGAAUUGGGCCCUUUGACAUUUUGGCCUGAUUUUCAACUAAGUAUGAAGAAAUUUCUUGAUUGGGCUGGAUUUUGGUUAUUGGGCCUCGCCUUCAAGAAUUUGGGCUCGUGAUCCAUCUCCUACCAAAAUUGGGUCGAUGACGCUCGUAAUGGAGAUCCAAUGCGUUUUGGCUGCAAGAUUUGGUUUCUUGGACCAAGAUUUCCAAGAUUUGAAAUCUUGAUUUUCUUGAUUCUUGAAAUCUCUUCGAACAGCAAAAUUGGGCCAAGAUUCGGUUUCUUGAUUUUCUUGAAAACAAGAAAGUGAAUCUUGAUUUUCUUGUUCUCUCGUGUAUGCAUCUAAGGCCUUGCUAACAAGCUCUUGAAUGGUCCCAUUUAGUUUGGACCGCAUUUGUCGGGCCUUUGAUCUUGUUAUUGGGCCUUGUGGCAAUUUGAGCCCAGCACGUUCUUGAACUUGGAUUGGGCCUUUAUGACUCGUAUCAUUCCCCCCUUGCUCAAAAAGAUUCGUCCUCGAAUCUAAAAAAUCAAAUGGGGACAAGUCAGCCACAUUAAAAGUAGAACUUACAUUGUACUCACCAGGUAGAUCAAUUUUAUAGGCAUUAUCGUUGAUCCGCUCGAGUACUUGGAAAGGCCCAUCGCCCCUUGGGUCCAACUUAGUCUUCCUUUUUGUAGGAAAUCGUUCUUUCCUCAAAUGGACCCAAACCCAAUCUCUGGGUUCUAGUACAACCCGUUUGCGCCCCUUGUUUGCUUUGUUGGUGUUGGCAUCAUUUGUUUUGGCUAUUCGCUGUCUAGCCUUCUCAUGUAAGGAUUUCACCAACUCAGCUUUCUGUUCGCCAUCUAAAUUCAUAACGUGUUCAAGAGGUAAUGGCGCAAGAUCAAGUACUGUUAGUAGGUUAAAACCAUAAACAAGUUCAAAUGGGGAAUAACCAGUUGUAGAAUGAAUAGAUCUAUUAUAUGCAAAUUCAACGAAUGGUAGGCAUUCUUCCCAAUUUCUAAUGUUCUUUCCCACAACAGCUCGUAAUAGAGUCCCUAAGAUUCGAUUAACUACUUCAGUUUGACCAUCAGUUUGGGGGUGACAUGUAGUAGAAUAAAGCAAUUUAGUACCAAGCUUACCCCACAAUACCUUCCAAAAGUGGCUAAGGAAUUUGACAUCUCUAUCAGAAACAAUUGUUUUAGGGAUGCCAUGAAGUCUUACCACUUCUUUAAAGAAUAAGUCGGCCACAUGUGUAGCAUCAUCUGUUUUGUGACAAGGAAUAAAAUGUGACAUCUUUGAAAACCUGUCAACAACAACAAAUAUACUAUCUCUUCCUUUUUUUGUUCGAGGCAAACCUAAAAUAAAAUCCAUGGAUAAAUCUACCCAAGGUGAAGUAGGAAUCGGUAGAGGAGUGUAAAGGCCAUGAGGCAUUACCUUAGAUUUUGCUUGUUUGCAUGUAAUGCACUUGGAACAUACCUUUUCCACAUCCUUCUUCAUAUGUGGCCAAUGGAAGUGUUCUUGCAAUAUGUCUAGUGUUUUGGCCACUCCAAAAUGUCCCAUUAGUCCCCCACUAUGGGCUUCAUGAAUCAACAAUUCUCUCAUGGAACACUUUGGUAUGCAUAACCUGUUUAAACGAAAAAGAAAGCCAUCUACAAGAUAAAAUUUUUCAAAAGCAGUAUGUCCACAAUUCUUAUAGAUAUGGCUGAAAUCAGUAUCAUCAUCAUAUAACUCUUUAAUAUGUUCAAACCCUAAGACUUUAGCAUUCAAUGUAGUUAUUAAAGUAUAUCGUCUAGACAAAGCAUCUGCGACUACAUUAUCUUUACCUGUUUUAUAUUGAAUCACAUAAGGGAAUGUUUCAAUGAAUUCUACCCAUCGGGCAUGUCUUUUACUCAACUUACCUUGUCCCUUUAACCAUUUAAGAGACUCAUGAUCUGUAUGUAUGACAAACUCAUUAGGCAGCAAAUAAUGUUGCCAUACUUGAAGUGCACGAACUAAUGCCAAUAGUUCUUUGUCAUAAGUCGAGUAAUUUAACUGCGCACCGUUCAAUUUCUCACUAAAAUAAGCAAUAGGUUGCUUAUCUUGCAUUAAAACGGCGCCGAUUCCAAUUCCUGAAGCAUCACACUCAAGUUCAAAAGUGUUAGCAAAAUCAGGUAAUUUAAGCAAAGGAGCAGAACAUAACUUAGUUUUUAGAGUUUGAAAAGCUUUUUCUUGGGUUUCACCCCAUUUGAAACCCACUGAUUUCUUUAUAACUUCAGUCAAUGGGGCAGCAAUAGUAGAGAAAUCUUUCACAAAUCGUCUAUAAAAACUGGCUAAACCAUGGAAAGAUCUCACCUCAGUUAUCGAUUUAGGAGUCAGCCACUCCUUAAUUGCCUUAACUUUGUCCUCGUCGACAUGAAUACCUUGAGCACUAACUAUGAAACCUAUGAAUAUUAGUUUAUCACAACAGAAUGUGCAUUGAUCAAGGUUGGCAAAUAAUCUUUCAGUUCGUAGAAUAUCCAAAACGGUUCGAACAUGGAAAACAUGAUCAUCUAAUGACUUUGAGUAAAUUAAAAUAUCAUCAAAGUAAACUACUACAAAUUUACCCAAAUGUAGCCUCAAAACAUGAUUCAUUAAUAUCAUAAAUGUACUAGGUGCAUUGUAAGGCCGAAAGGCAUAACUAACCAUUCAUACAAUCCAAAUUUUGUUUUAAAAGCUGUUUUCCAUUCAUCCCCUUCCCUCAUUUGAAUUUGAUGAUAACCGCUUUUUAAAUCAAUUUUUGUAAAUAUUAUUGAACCAUGUAAUUCAUCAAGCAUAUCAUCAAGUCUAGGGAUUGGGUGUCGAUACUUUACCGUUAUCUUGUUGAUUGGGCGACAAUCAACACACAUAUGAAACGUACCAUCUUUCUUUGGCACCAAUAAGACAGGAACAGCACAAGGACUUAGGCUCUCACGAAUGUACCCUUUGUCUAGUAAUUCCUCCACUUGCCUUUGCAAUUCCUUUGUCUCCUCGGGAUUGCAUCUAUAGGCUGGUCGAUUUGGGAUUGAAGCUCCGGGUACUAAGUCAAUUUGAUGUUCUAUCCCUAGUAAAGGUGGUAAACCUUUAGGGGCCUCACUAAAAACAUCCUCAUAAUCCCGCAAAAGAGAUUGAAACACACUAGGUAAAUUUUCGUUAAUGUUAGAUAAAGAUAAAUAAUUUUGCCUAAACCUCACAAGGAUACAAGGCUAUUUAUUAAGUAGGGCUCUCUUCACAUCUUUUUUUGUUGCCAAAAGAUUUUUUCCGCUCAUUUUACCACUAGAGGAUUCACUCACCUUUGGGCUUUUUAAAUUUUGACUUUUUCCACUACUAUUAGCCUCUUUUCUCUCUGUCUUUUGUACUUGCUCUUUCUCCCUUACUCCCUCACAAAAUUUUAUCAUCCUCAAUUGAUCUUUAUAUACAUCAAUAGGAUUUAAAGGAGCAAAAGUGAAUUUCUUGCCUUUAAAUACAAGGGAGUAUCGAUUAAGUUUACCUUGGUGUGUAACAUCGCGAUCAAAUUGCCAAGGUCGUCCAAGGAGCAAGUGUGCCGCAUGCAUGGGGACUACAUCACACCAUACGUCAUCCUCAUAAUUGCCGAGUUUAAAAGUGACCAAGGACUGUUUCGUAACUUUAACUUCGGAACAUUCAUUAAGCCACUGAAGGUGAUAUGGCUUAGGGUGUUUGGUACAAGGCAACUUUAAAGAAUCCACCAAAUAACUACUCACUACAUUCGAGCAACUCCCACUAUCAAUAAUGAGUGAACAUAAGUUACCUUUAAUAAAACACCGAGAAUGGAAAAUAUUGGUCCUUUGGCUCUCAUCAUCUUUUAUCUGAAUGUUAAGGGUUCGACGAACUACAAGGCAUUGAAAAUUAGCAAAGUCCCCUUCCUUUGGUGGUUCGACCAACUCGUCACCAUUAUCACUGUCAUCCACAAGUUCUGGCAUAUCUGGAUCUGUAUUAUCAGAGUCGAAAGUGUACUCACCGUUAUCUUUUAGAAGAAGUAAUCUCGUGUUAGGGCAUUCUCUACUAUAAUGACCACGCCCUUUGCACUUAAAGCAUUCAAUCUCACGAGUCCUCUUCGCACUCGAAUCACCUAAAUUGGGCUGCUUAGAAGGUGUUUGCGUUUUUGCAGGAGCCCCUUUUUUCCAAUCUGAUUGUUUACUUCCAUUACUCAAAGAAGACUUGUUAGUAACAAAAGGUGGUUUUGAACUCUUAAAAUCAGAAUUGGAAUUGUUACCUCGAUAAUAUUGUGAAGUAGAUAAGGACCCAAACCUUUGUUCCUUUAAUUGUUGCUCGAUCUCAAUGGCUUUGUGAACUGCUUCUUCCAAAUCAAUGUAAGUUUGUAGCCUCAAUGUAUUAGCUAUCGGCCUGUUCAAACCAACAAUGAAUCGAACCAUAGUUGUUUCUUCAUCUGCCUCCACAUUAGCUCUCUGAAUGAGCAUCUCCAUCUCUUUAAAAUAUUCAUCCACCGUCCUACUACCUUGGAUAAGUCUUCUCAACAUUGUUUUAAUUUCUCUAUAGUAGUGAGGUGGAAUAAACCUUUUACGCAUAAUCUGUUUCAACUCAUCCCAUGUUGAAAUCUCACCUUCAUAAUUCCGAUGGCGGUUUACCCCAAGUUGAGUCCACCAACUUAAUGCAUAAUCAGAAAAUUCCAGUGUUGCUAACGCUACCUUUUCAUCAUCCGGACAUUUAUAAUACCGAAACAUGAGUUCAAUCUUAGAUUCCCAUUCACAAUAAGCGUCAGGAUCAUUCUUACCACGAAAUUGGGGAAUUGUGAAUUUCGGUUUUGCCAAAGAAGGUUGUCCACGAUCAUGAAAAUCAUCAUCCAUUCUAGGGACACGUCGAGGGCCGCGCCUAUGGGGAUGGUUAUUCCUAUCUUCCCUGAUUGGAUCUCGAUAUUGAAGUUCUUGAUUCAUUCGUACCUCAUUCAAAGUAGUAUUCAAUGCUUGAAGGGUAGCAUUUAUUUGUGUGAUUGCAGCAGCGUGUCCUUCUAACUGUUGUUGGACUUCCAUAAGUGUAUCAUUAUGGUCAUCUUUAGACAUCUUCCAAAAAAACUGCAAAAAUAAACACUCAACACUAAAAAAUAAAAGUUAUCAAACCUCACCGUUAAUCACUCAAAAAUAAAAAAUCAAAUUCUCAAUGAGGUCGAAUUCAAUCUUGUGAGUUCUUUAUCAGAGUUUAUAUCAACCAAUUAGAGAGUGUGAACCAAACUACCAAAGAAUCCUAAUUUGCACUAGGAUGCCAAAAACUGACGAGACACCAAUUGAUUCGUGUUGCACCGAGGAAGAAGUUGUGCACACGUUUAAAUCCUACUAACACAAGAAACAAGAAGGUGUUAGAUAACGUAAAGGAAGAAUAAAGGUAAACAGAUGAAAACCUACAGCUAAGAAUCAAUAAAAAUUGCUGAAAACAGAAAACCCGAAAAACUGCGGAGUAACUUGACAACUUCGUUCAAGGUGUUCCCGAUCUCCAAAAAUAACGAAAUUAAAUCUGGAGUGUCCUUAUAUAUUGAAUUUUUGAUCUGGAAAUUUUGGGCACCAAAUUCAACCCGCUGAAUCUUUUUUUAAAUUUUUAUUGAAUUUCGUCUUUUUUUAUUUUUUUUGACUUUUUUGACUGAUUUUUUUGCGGGAAUAAUUUUUUUAUAUUCAAUCACAGUGCCAAAAACAUGUAUGUAAAAUUUUAGAUCAAUCGGACAACGUUUACCCACUCAAAUGAAUUUUUUUGAACAAUUUUUCUGGGUAAAACUGCUGUUUAUGCUUUAAAAAAUAGAGAUCAGUUUAGAAAUCAACCAAGAACACCCAAAACGCCCAAAAUCUGAUACCAAAUGAUACGGGGUUGCGCGCGGACCAAGAUCGAGUUGCCAAGUCACGAGAAACUCCUACGAAAGCUCUAAACGAACAGAUCUGAAAUCAAACAAAGAACGAGAUUAAAUCUGGAAAAUUAAAAUCUGGAAUAAGAACCCUAAAAAAAUCAGCAAGAUCUAAUCAAGGAACGAAACACUUAUGAAAGAGGUUUCUUGAAACCAAGAACACGAAAUUGAUUCCCAAGAAUGAACUCCCACAAGCCGAAUCUGCCAAGAACACCAAAACAGUAAGUAGAUUGAAACAAUCAGAUUUUUAAUUGGAAGAUUAGGGAUUUGGGCGGCAAAAAAAAAGAAAAGAAAGAAAUAGGUGAAAUUGAACAGUUCAAGAAGUGAAUUUAAGUUGCGAUUCGGUCCAAUUGAACACCCAAUAUGAAUUGCCCAAAUUUCAGCAGCCGAAUUUCACCCAACAAGAAGAAAUAGAAAACGGCAAGAACCCUAAAUUUUGGGGAAUUUUCAGUCGAUUAUAUGUGGCCAAUAAAAGAACCAAUUAAAUGAAGAGUUCUUGGAGUUUGAAUCACGGCUGAAACACAAACAAGAACAACAAAAUAUUAGAUGAUGAAUCGGCACAAGUAGGAAUAAAGAAACAAAUCGAAACAGCAAGAAAUAAAGAAAAGUCCUAAGAACCCUUGAAUUCCUGAAAGAAUUCACAAAUUCCUUCAAACGGCUCUAAUCUCCCCUCCAAAGAAUAUCGAUGGCAAGAAGAAGGUUGAAGAUGGCUCCCACAAUCAAAAGAUUGUUAAAACAACUUCUAAAGAAAACUCAAGAGAGAAUUCUUGGAGAAAACCCCAAAGAAAAUUCUGCACUCAACAAAUCUGAAAUUUGAUAGAAAAAAAUAAUAAUAAGAUGUGUUUACAAAGGGUAGCUGGCCAAUGCUUAUAUAGGCCUCCAACAAAUCCUAAUCUCACAAGUAACUAAUAAAAAUUAAACCUAAUUAAUAAAAUAACAAGGUAAAUUCGGCCAUGCACUUAUAUGGGCUGUUUUGGGCCGAAUUUUACAUGUAAUGCUCCUAAAGAUUAAAAAAUUAAAUUAAACAAGUAGGAUGUUUACGAAUUGGGCCCUUUGACAUUUUGGCCUGAUUUUCAACUAAGUAUGAAGAAAUUUCUUGAUUGGGCUGGAUUUUGGUUAUUGGGCCUCGCCUUCAAGAAUUUGGGCUCGUGAUCCAUCUCCUACCAAAAUUGGGUCGUUGACGCUCGUAAUGGAGAUCCAAUGCGUUUUGGCUGCAAGAUUUGGUUUCUUGGACCAAGAUUUCCAAGAUUUGAAAUCUUGAUUUUCUUGAUUCUUAAAAUCUCUUCGAACAGCAAAAUUGGGCCAAGAUUCGGUUUCUUGAUUUUCUUGAAAACAAGAAAGUGAAUCUUGAUUUUCUUGUUCUCUCGUGUAUGCAUCUAAGGCCUUGCUAACAAGCUCUUGAAUGGUCCCAUUUAGUUUGGACCGCAUUUGUCGGGCCUUUGAUCUUGUUAUUGGGCCUUGUGGCAAUUUGAGCCCAGCACGUUCUUGAACUUGGAUUGGGCCUUUAUGACUCGUAUCAAAUCCAUCCCAAACUUGGUUGUUAAACUCUACUGUGAUGACGAUACUGUAGGAGAGGUCCUGCGGCAAAAUAGCUCGACGCCAGGAUGAUAAAAAGCUUAACACCUCUCAUUCUUAUUACUUUUUCAAUAUGAAAAAGUAAUAAGAAUGAAAAAUAAAAAAGGUCGUCUUAUUUAAAACCCCAAUUAUGAAAUCCCCUCUCUCCCACUUCACACCUCGGAACGCACCGUUCUUAUAGAGAGAAAGGCACUUUCACAUCUUCUUAACCCAAAAUGGCUAGGGAGAGGAAAGGUUCCUUUUUUUUAGGGUACUACUGGGAACAGAUCCAGUGGAGACGAGGUAGGGCCUGUAGCUCAGAGGAUUAGAGCACGUGGCUACGAACCACAGUGUCGGGGGUUUGAAUCCCUCCUCGCCCACAACCGGCCCAAAAGGGAAGGACCUUUCCCUCUGGGGGUAGGAAAAUCAUGAUCGGGAUAGCGGACCCAAAGCUAUGGAACUUGGGCGUGGGUCUUUUGCCAAACUGGAGUGGCCUUUUAUUUAUUAUUUAUCAUAUAUUUACUUUUUUAUUUUAUAUUUAUAUAUAGUAUUACCGGCCAAAACAAAAUAAAAUAAGCAUAUUUUUUUUGUUUUACGCCCCGUAACUAUUCCUCAGCCAGGCUUGGGUAGAAAAGCAGAGCAAGUACAAGUAUUAGUAGCAUAGAAAAAAUGUGCUCCUCGUCAUUAAAUUAAUGUGUUUGCUCACGGUAAUUGUGGCCUCUCGGGAGAAUCGAUGAUUGCAUCUUUGAGGCAUUUGCUAGUACUAGUACAUCUGAGAAUUCUUAAUUGGCUGGUUGUAAAUAGCCCCGGGACUAUGGAACAAAGGAUUAUCCCGGACACCUACACCGAGGUAUUGACGGUGAUUCUCAAAUAUCGCAGAAUAGGAUGUGAUACGAUGAGAUAGAAUGCAAUAGAAACAAAGACACAGGGAACGGGUUACCUGCUCUUAAAGGUCAAAGCAAACCCUUUCAUUCUGACAUUCUGAAUUCUUUAAUUCGAAAUGAAUCAAAUCUCCUCAAGUAGGAUUCGAACCUACGACCAGUCAGUUAACAGCCGACCGCUCUACCGCUGAGCUACUGAGGAACAACGGGAGAUUAGAUCUCAUAGAGUUCAAUUCCCGUUCUCAACCCAUGACCAAUAUGAACUCGAAGUUUCCUUCGUAACCCCCGGAACUUCUUCGUAUUGGCUCCGUUCCAUGCCUCAUUUCAUAGGGAACCUCAAAGUGGCUCUAUUUCAUUAUAUUCCAUCCAGAUCCCAAUUCCAUUUUUAUAUUGUCAUUGACAUGACAUAAGAGAUGUCGGUUCUAGUCUAUCUUUUUCUAUUUCUGUAUAUGUAUAUGGAAAGUUCAAAAAUCAUCAUAUAAUAAUCCAGAAAUAGAAAAGAAAAAAGGGAGGUUAAUGAUGAUUUUAAAAUCUUUUAUACCAGGGAAUCUAAUAUCCUUUUACAUGACGAUAAUCAAUUCAGUCAUUAUGGUCAGACUCUAUUAUGGAUUUCUGACCACACUAUCCAUAGGUCCCUCUUAUAUCUUCCUUCUACGAGCUUGAUUUAUGGAAGAAGGAGAAGAAGGAACCGAGAAGAGAGUAUCAGCAACAACUGGGUUUAUUGCAGGCCAGCUCAUGAUGUUCAUAUCAAUCUACUAUGUACCUCUGCAUUUAGCAUUGGGUAAACCUUAUACAAUAACUGUCCUAGCUAUACCGUAUCUUUUGUUUCAUUUCUUCUGGAACAAUCACAAAGACUUUUUUGAUCAUAGACGUCCUACCAGAAAUUCAAUGCGUAAUCUUAGCAUUCAAUGUGUAUUCCUGAAUAAUCUCAUUAUUCAAUUAUUCAACCAUUUCAUUUUACCAAGUUCAAUGUUAGCCAAAUUAGUCAACAUCUAUAUGUUUCGAUGCAACAACAAUAUGUUAUUUGUAACAAGUAGUUUUGUUGGUUGGUUAAUUGGUUAUAUUUUAUUGAUGAAAUGGGUUGGGUUGGUAUUAGUCUGGAUACAACAAAAUAAUUUAAUUAGGUCUAAUGUACUUAUUCGAUCUAAUAAGUAUCUUGUAUCAGAAUUUAGAAAUUCUAUGGCUCGAAUCUUUAGUAUUCUGUUAUUUAUUACCUGUGUUUACUAUUUAGGUAGAAUACCGUCACCCAUUCUAACUAAGAAACUGAAAGGAAUUUCCGAACCAGAAGAAGUGGGGGAAAGUGAGGAAGAAAGAAACAUAGAAAUAGAAAUUAUUUCCGAGGGGGGAGGGUGAUACGAGCACGCCCCGUGAACUUUAUCGAGCAAGUCUGUCAAGCCAAGCAAUGACAUGUUGGCAAGCUGAUCCAAGCUCGUUUCCAGCUCUACGAGCUCCGUCUAGCUCAAAUCCAGCUUAUUCGAGCUUAAUCCAUCUUGCCUGAGCUAAACCAAGCUCACUCCUAGCUCACUUUCAACUCACGAGCUAAACCUUAGCUCAACUUCAGCUUAGGAGUUUAGCCUCAGCUCAACUUUAGCUCACGGGCUAAAGCUUAGCCCAUUUUAGUUUAAACUCGGUUUUGUCUUUAAUGCAUUAAAUAAAAAUUUGCACAUAUUUAUUUAAGCAUUAAACUUGUCUUAUAUUAAUAUUUGUUAUUAAUAUGCCAUAGUCAUUACAUAAAUUGAUUAUGUUCACAUAACUGAAUUAAUGCAUGACAUUAAUGUGUUCACAUCAUGCCGAAUUUAUGAGUGUCCAUGAGAUAUCUUAAUGACUUGUUUAUUUCAUGUAGGUACAUCCCUUUGGACGGUACAAUGUAUGGAUGAAGAAACAUCUCUUUUGGGCAUUCCACACUCAUGAAUGAAGAAGUAUUAAAUGCUGGUGCAUGUACAGCUAGAUGCAAGGUUUCUACAAAUUCAUGCAUGUGUCGAAUGCAUGUAUGGACAUUAAAGGCUAGUCCAUGAAUGGAUCAAAUGCAUGGGAUGAUAGAAUGCAUGAAUGGUUUAAGUGCAUGUAUGGUGGCUGUCUCCUAACUUUCCAAGGCACUUAUUCGGCCAAGAAGUAGCUGUUCACACUUUGAAUUGACCUAUAAGCUACUACACAUGCAUGGAUGGGUUCAAGAACGUCCAAAGGAAGGAAUUAACUCAAUAAUUCAACACAUUGAUUGAAUUAAGUGUAUGCACAAAGGGGAGAACGAAUUUACUAGGUUCAUGCUGCCAUUUAUGAACCUACAUGCUAUUAAAGAGUUUAAUUAUGAGGAUACAUGUUCCAUACAAGUGCAUGAACGUCCCAAGGAGAUGAAUGCAACCUUUGGUGCACAUACAAGUCACUUGAAGCCUUUCUUUAUGAUUAAGCAUUCAUGCACACACUUAGGGGGAAGAAAGUGUCCAUUCAACUAGUUCAUGAAUCUGCCGAAUUUAUGAACUAUUUUAAUACAUUAGUGUGAAUGUUUUUAUUAUUGUGUGAACACCUAGAUGCCGAAUUUGAAUGGUCAUCUAUAUGCCUAUAAGUAUUUGUUUUCUUUCAAUUGUAAGAGACUUUUUGCCAAAAUUUUUAUUGAAUUUAAUCUUGUGAGAAUUUUCUUCUCUAAACUUUGUUUGAGACUUUGUUGACUUAUCUUCCUAGUAGUGGCGUCAACCCUGUUUCGUUCACUCUUAUACCGAGGUUCCUACUUUCUAAGUAGCGGGUCGAGGUUUAUCAUUUUCAUCCUCCACCUUGAAAGCCUAUAAGCAAUUGGGUCAAUACUCUCUAGUAUUGGUUCGUGCUUGCUUUUGAGUUCCUUCUUUCCAUUCUUUCAUUUACUUUAAACCGAACCUUAAUAUUCAUAUUUUAAACCCUUUAUUUGAACCCCUUGAAUAGCUUUCGCAUAAUUUAUUUAGAAACAUCCUUUUUAAACAAACUGGAUGAUACUUUCUUGUAGACGAUCGGGCAAACUCGCAUACGACUCGACUCUCCCCGAGGCGGUUCGUGUCAGAGGGGCUAACCAGAAACAGGGGACCGAAGAAAAUACUUCUUCUUCCCUUUUUUCGGAGGAAGUGGUGGAUCCAAGCAAAAUCAACGAAACAGAAAAGCUACGAGUGACUGGAAAGAAAAAAAAAUAAAGGGCGAACUCCACUUUCGUUUUAAAGAGACACAUUAUAAAAAUAGAUGGUUUAUGAAACUUCUUAUCUGGAUGGGAAUCAAGAAAGUUCAAAGUUAGAAAUAUUAAAAAAAAAAGAAGAUAAAUAUUUAUUAUGGAUUGAAAAACCUCUUGUGACACUUCUUUUUGAUUCUAAACGAUGGAAUCGACCUUUGCGAUAUAUAAAAAAUGACCGGGUUGAAAAUGCUAUAAAAAAUGAAAUGUCACAAUAUUUUUUUUAUACAUGUCAAAGUGAUGGAAAAGAAAAAAUAUCUUUUAUGUAUCCACCCAGUUUAGCAACUUUUGGGGAAAUGAUACAAAAAAAAAUAUAUUUUUUCACACCAGAAAAAUGGUUUUCUGAUGAAUUGUAUACUGAUUGGAGUUUUAUCAAUGAACUAAAAAGAAGAAAUUUGAGUAAGGAGUUUAUAAAAAGAGUCGAAUCUUUAGAUAAGGAAUCUUUUGAUCUGGGCAUACUUGAAAAAAGGACUCGAUUCUCUAAUAAUGAAACUAAACGAGAAUACUUGCCUAAACUAUAUGAUCCUUUCUUGCAUGGACCCUACCGCAGAAGAAUCAAAAAAUGGGGUUCUCCUUUAAGCAUAAAUCAAACUUAUAAAAAAAAACACGGAUCCAUUUUGGAUAAAUAAGAUUCAUUGAUACGAGUCACAAAAGCCCAAAUUCUUGAAGGCGAGGCCCAAUAAGCAAAUUCCCAGCCCAAUCAAGAAAUCCCUCCAUACUUAGUUGAAAAUCAGGCCAAAUUGUCAAAGUGGCCCAAGUUGUAAAGUUUUAUUUUUAUUUUUAUUUAUUUAUUUAUUUAUUUACUUAGUUUAAAUUUUUAUGUCAAUAUUCAGUCCAAGAGUCCCAGAUAAAAUGACCUUUGACCGAAUUUCCAUAUUAAAAUAAUUAGGAGUUUUUUUAUUUUAGUUUUCUAAUUAGAUUAGGACUAGUUAUAAGGCCUAUUUAAAGGCAUGGCUGUCCACCUUGUUAAACACUUUCAUUAUUAUUAAAAUUUCAGAUUUGUUGAGAGCAGAAUUUUCUUUGAGUUUUCUCCAAGAUUUUUCUCUUGAGUUUUCUUUAGAAGUUGUUUUAACAAUCUUGUGAUUGUGGGAGCCAUCUUCAACCUUCUUCUUGCCAUUGAUAUUCUUUGGAGGGGAGAUUAGAGCCGUUUGAAGGGAGUUGUGAGAUCUUUCGAGAUUUUAAGGCUUCUUAGGACUUAUCUUUUAAUUUUUUACUGUCAAUUCUUUCUUUAUUUCUACUUGUGCUGAAUCAUUAUCUAAUCUAUUUUCUGUUCUUAUUGUGUUUUCAGCCUUUUUCUAUCUUAAGGAAUCAGCCCAAAAAUCCCCAAUUUCUAGGGUUUUUCCAUACUCUUUUUUGGUGAAAUUAGAUUGUCGAAAUUUGGCAAAAACUAUCUUGGUGUUCAAUUGGGCAGAAUCACAAUCUCCUUGAGGGUUUCAAGAACCCUAACACUUAUUUCUAUUCUCAAUUUGAUUCUUUGCUGAUUUGGGGAUUUUAUUUCAGAUCUGAAAAUUCAAAAAUCUAAUCUUUUAAUUUUCUGUUUCGUUUCAGAUUUAAUUGUUUAGGGUUUUCGUAGGAGNNNNNNNNNNNNNNNNNNNNNNNNNNNNNNNNNNNNNNNNNNNNNNNNNNNNNNNNNNNNNNNNNNNNNNNNNNNNNNNNNNNNNNNNNNNNNNNNNNNNNNNNNNNNNNNNNNNNNNNNNNNNNNNNNNNNNNNNNNNNNNNNNNNNNNNNNNNNNNNNNNNNNNNNNNNNNNNNNNNNNNNNNNNNNNNNNNNNNNNNNNNNNNNNNNNNNNNNNNNNNNNNNNNNNNNNNNNNNNNNNNNNNNNNNNNNNNNNNNNNNNNNNNNNNNNNNNNNNNNNNNNNNNNNNNNNNNNNNNNNNNNNNNNNNNNNNNNNNNNNNNNNNNNNNNNNNNNNNNNNNNNNNNNNNNNNNNNNNNNNNNNNNNNNNNNNNNNNNNNNNNNNNNNNNNNNNNNNNNNNNNNNNNNNNNNNNNNNNNNNNNNNNNNNNNNNNNNNNNNNNNNNNNNNNNNNNNNNNNNNNNNNNNNNNNNNNNNNNNNNNNNNNNNNNNNNNNNNNNNNAAUUCAUUAUAAAUUACCAGAGAUAAUUAGGGGUUGUACCAUAUAUUUACAGAUUCCUCUCUGAGUCUAGUUUUCAUAGAAACAAACGGCAUCAGUAUUGGAGCCCUGUGCAGUGAGAUAUCCAAGUCGUAAUGGGCAAAGGUCAGUGUAGUCGACCCCUGCAACAUGGGAGACUUUGACUAAUAAACUGUACUAAUUGGCCCAACCAAAAAUUCUAGAAAAAAAUACAUAGAUGGGCACAUGAGUCUAGUUUCUGGGAAAAAAUCACAAAACUGAUUUUCGAGUUAUGAAACUCAAGAUAUGAUUUUUAGAACGACUAGUACACAGAUUGGGCAGUGUCUGGAAAAUAAACUUUAUAAGGGGUUAAAGUCAGUUAACACCUCGUGUUCGACUCCGGUGUCAGUUUCGGGUUCGGGGUGUUACAUUUGAUUGGUAUCAGAGCUAUGGUUUAGUCGGUUCUAGGACUACCAUAGCACGUAUGAGUCUAGCUAUACAUGCCUUAAUGUUAAUGUUUAAAAGGGUGAUGACUUCCGACGGUUGAAAUGUUUUGUUUUGAUUAGUAAAUGGAUCCCGGUGUAGUAGAAGAACCCUGGCGGAUGACGUUGAGAGCGUAGCGGCUGCUCCUGCACAAGGGACGCCGCCUGUUGAACCUCAGUCAUCUGCGAAUGAUCAAGGUGAGGGGGCUAAACAAGCCUUCUUUACCAUGAUGAAUGAGUGGGUCGCGCAAUAUGCCGAACCAACCCGGCUUGUCCAAACAAUUCCCAAAUUUGAAUAAUCCACCCCCAAGAGCCUGUAAUGCCAUCAGUCGCUGAUCCUGUGAGGCUGAGUAAGCCACCUGUAGACUUGAUUAGGAAGCGUGGGGUCGAGGAGUUCAAGGCCAUAGUAACUGAUGACGCCGAAAGGGCGAGGUCUGGCUUGAUAACACCAUUCGGGUGUUCGAUGAAUUGUCAUGCACACCUGACGAAUGUCUAAAAUGUGCUGUAUCUUUCUUGCGAGACUCAGCCCUACUAUUGGUGGAGGACCUUGAUUUCCAUAGUCCCGAACGAGCGAGUAACUUGGGACUUCUUUCAAACGGAAUUCCGAAAGAAAUUAUUAGCCAACGGUUCAUUGAUCAGAAGCGUAAGGAGUUCUUAGAACUCAAGCAAGGCCGUAUGACUGUAUCUGAAUACGAACAUGAAUUUGUUAGACUUAGUAGAUACGCUCGGGAAUGUGUUUCGUCCGAGGCUAUUGUGUGUAACGCUUCGAGGAUGGGGCUGAAUGAAGAUAUAAAAAUGUUCGUUGGCGUUCUUGAAAUACGAGAGUUCGUGGUACUUGUCGAGUGAGCUUGUAAAGCCGAAGAGCUUAGAAAAGAAAAACAAAAAGUUGAUGAGGGAACUGGAGAGUUUCGUAAAAUAUCUUCGGGAAAGUCUCUUCAACAGGCAUCGAAGAAAUUUCGAGAUGAUGUGGGCUGGUCGAGAGGCACUUCGGGCCUUUUUAGAUGAGAUCGUGAUCGACCCCCUUUGAGUACACGAGGCACUUCGGUCGCCAGUGUUGGGAAUGAACGUCGAGACAGAACGAAAUGUCGAUAUUGCGGUAAAUGGCAUUCGGGGAGUUGUAGAUUCCCUGACCGCUCCUGUUACAAGUGCGGAUCGGUUGACCACUUCAUUAAAGAUUGCCCGAGGUUGUCUGAACAGAAUGUAAAUCAGAGUGGGAAACCGGGGUGCUACCACUGCUCGAGGUAGACCAUCUGGAAAUACGGGCAAUGCUGGUGGUAGUCAGAGAGGGGCCUCUGAUACGGCUGCUCGAGCCGAGAACCGUACUCCUGCUAGAGCAUAUGCCAUUCGCGCACGAGAGGAGGCAUCCUUCCCUGACGUCAUCACUGGUACCUUCACUCUCUUUGAUACUAAUGUGAUUGCAUUGAUUGACCCUGGUUCUACUCAUUCAUAUGAAUGCGAAACCUUAGCAACCAGUAAGACUCUACCUGUUGAGUCUACUGAGCUCGUAAUUCGAGUAUCAAACCCUUUUGGGUCAAUGCGUAUUUGUUGAUAAAGUGUGUAAGAGAUGCCCUCUAAUAAUCCGAGAAUCCUGUUUUCCGGCUGAUUUGAUGCUUUUGCCGUUCGACGAGUUUGAUGUUAUUCUUGGUUUGGAUUGGUUAACCGCGCAUGAUGCGGUUGUGAAUUGCAAAAGCAAGACUAUCGAUUUGAGGUGCGCAAAUAAUGAAAUAAUCCGAGUUGAGUCUGCGGACUUAAGGGGGUUGCCAGCUGUAAUAUCAGCAAUGUUGGCCCAGAAAUAUGUAAGGAAAGGGUGCGAAGCAUACCUCGCGUAUGUACUUGAUGACAAGGAGUUAGAAAAGAAACCCGAAUCGGUGCCGGUGGUUCAUGAAUACCCGGAUGUUUUUCCUAAAGAGUUACCGGGUUUGCCACCUGUUCGGGAGAUAGAGUUUGGUAUUGAGCUUGUACCUGGAACUACGCCAAUUUCGAUCGCUCCGUAUCGUAUGGCACUAACCGAGUUAAAAGAGUUGAAAGCUCAAUUGCAAGAAUUGACGGAUAGAGGUUUCGCUCGAUCGAGUUUCUCACCCUGGGGUGCACCAGUAUUGUUCGUGAAAAAGAAGGACGGAACCAUGAGGUUGUGCAUUGACUAUCGUCAACUGAAUAAAGUGACAAUAAAGAAUAAGGAUCCGUUACCGCGUAUCGAUGAUUUGUUCGACCAACUGACGGGAGCCUCAAUGUUCUCAAAAAUAGAUCUGAGAUCGGGCUAUUAUCAGUUGCGAAUUCGAGAAUCAGACAUACCCAAAACUGCCUUCAGGACGAGAUAUGGUCACUACGAGUUCUUAGUGAUGCCGUUUGGGCUCACUAAUGCCCCUGCGGUAUUUAUGGAUUUGAUGAAUCGGAUCUUCAGACCAUAUUUGGAUCGGUUCAUAGUUGUGUUCAUUGAUGACAUCUUGGUCUAUUCAAGAGAUGAGAUCGAACAUGUUGAAGACUUGAGAUUAGUGUUGCAAGUUUUGCGGAAUAAGAAGUUAUAUGCUAAGUUCAGUAAGUGUGAGUUCUGGUUAAGAGAGGUUAGCUUCUUGGGUCAUGUGGUAUCCGCAUCGGGUAUUCGAGUUGACCCGAACAAAAUCUCAGCCAUACUUAACUGAAAACCUCCGAGAAGUAUUACUGAGGUUCGGAGCUUUUUGGGACUCGCCGGUUAUUACCGACGAUUUGUCAAAGGUUUCUCGAUGAUAGCCACACCAAUGACGAAGCUACUUCAAAAGGAUGUUAAGUUCGAAUGGACGGAGAAAUGUCAGAAAAGCUUCGAUCAGCUGAAAACUCAUUUGACUGAAGCUCCAAUUUUGGUGCAACCCGAAUCGGGUAAAGAGUUUGUCAUUUAUAGUGACGCAUCCCUACUUGGGUUGGGUUGCGUAUUGAUGCAAGAAGGUCGAGUUGUGGCCUAUGCGUCGAGACAAUUGAAGCCACACGAGAGAAACUAUCCGACCCAUGAUCUCGAACUAGCCGUCAUUGUGUUCGCAUUGAAAAUAUGGCGACAUUAUUUGUUUGGUGAGAAGUGCCAUGUGUUUUCGGAUCACAAAAGUCUCAAAUAUUUGAUGACUCAACGAGACUUGAAUCUGCGACAAAGACGUUGGCUUGAGUUGUUGAAAGAUUACGAGCUUGUCAUUGAUUACCACCCGGGAAAGGCUAAGGUGGUUGCGGACGCCUUAAGCCAGAAAUCACUGUUUGCUUUGCGAGCGAUGAAUGUACACUUGUCUGUUCUAUCUGACAAUGUGUUAGUAGCUGAAUUAAAAGCCAAACCAUUAUUGACUCAUCAAAUUCUUGAAGCUCAGGAAGUCGAUAAUGAAUUGGUUGCGAAACGAGCUGAGUGUGUUCUGAACAAGGAAUCGGAGUUUCAGAUUGAUGAUGAUGGUUGUUUGAGGAUUAGAAGUCGUUUGUGUGUUCCAAGGAAUUCGGAACUCAUUCCGAUGAUUCUGAACGAAGCCCAUUGUAGCCGAAUGUCAAUUCACCCGGGGAGCACGAAAAUGUACAACGACUUGAAACGUCGGUUUGGGUGGCAUGGUAUGAAACGAGACAUCUCCGACUUUGUUUCGAGAUGUUUAAUAUGUCAACAAGUGAAAGCGGAACAUCAAGUGCCUUCAGGGUUACUUCAGCCGAUCAUGAUACCCGAGUGGAAAUGGGAUCGAGUCACAAUGGACUUUGUGUCCGGACUACCAUUGUCAACAAGUAAGAAGGAUGCGAUUUGGGUUGUUGUUGAUAGACUGACUAAGUCGGCUCACUUUAUCCCCGUGCGCACGGAUUUUUCAUUGGAUAAACUAGUCGAAUUGUAUGUUUCUCAGAUUGUGAGAUUACACGGGGUACCUAUUUCUAUCGUGUCGGAUAGAGAUCCGAGAUUCACCUAGCGAUUUUGGAGGAAAUUGCAAGAAGCUUUGGGUACCAAGCUGCAUUUUAGCACUGCUUUUCAUCCCCAAACCGAUGGUCAAUCCGAGCGGAUGAUUCAGAUACUCGAGGAUAUGCUGAGAUGCUGCAUCCUUGAGUUUAGUGGUUCAUGGGAACGGUAUGUACCUUUGAUUGAAUUCGCUUACAACAAUAGUUUUCAAUCAAGUAUUAAGAUGGCACCUUACGAGGCUUUGUACGGUCGUAAAUGCCGUACACCAUUGUUUUGGACCGAGCUCGGUGAAAGUAAAAUUUUCGGAGUUGAUUUGGUUAAAGAUGCUGAACAGAAAGUAAAGGUAAUCCGUGAAAGUCUGAAGGUGGCCACGGAUCGUUAGAAGUCGUACGCAGAUUUGAAACGAAAAGACAUCGAGUAUCAGGUGGGAGACAAAGUGUUCCUUAAGGUUUCACCUGGGAAAAAGGUACUUAGGUUUGGCCGUAAGGGCAAGUUGAGCCCAAGAUUCAUUGGGCCGUACGAAAUCUCCGAACGAGUGGGGCCAGUGGCGUAUAGAUUGAUUUUGCCCCCGGAGCUUGAAAAGAUUCAUGACGUCUUUUAUGUUUCGAUGCUUCGACGCUAUCGAUCUGAUCCAUCGCAUAUAAUUAGCCCAUCAGAGGUUGAAAUUCAAGUCGACAUGAGCUAUGAAGAAGAACCGAUGCGUAUCCUAGCUCGUGAAGUGAAGGAGUUGCGAAAAAAAAAAAAAAAAAAAGGGGGUUCCGUUAGUGAAGGUGUUAUGGCUCAAACACGGGAUCGAGGAAGCUACUUGGGAAACCGAGAGCUCGAUGAAAGAACGAUACCCAAACCUAUUUACCGGUAAAAUUUUCGGGGACAAAAAUUUCUUAAGUGGGGGAGAGUUGUAACAGCCCAAAGUUGACCCUAGUCGGGAAGUGGUCUCGGGACCGCUAAACCGAGUCACCGGAAUGUUUGAAUGUGAUACUUAUUGUCUAGAAUAUGUAAUUAUGAAGGUGUGAAAAUUUCAAGCUUCAAUUUGGUUGAUUUCAUGAGAAUUUAGUCAAUAGGACUUAUGUGAGAAAAUUCUAAAACGUGAUAGGUCAAUGUGUGAGGACCUAUUAGUGCAUGUGGACAAAGGGGGGGACUUGCAUGUCAAAUUUCCCCUCCCUACUAGUAAGUGGCCGGCCAUGACAAGCAUGGUAGACCAAGUUUGAUGGCCAAGACAUGUCAUAGACAUGUUUUGUUGGUGCAUCAUGGGUGGAAAAAAAUAAAAUAAUAGGCAUGGGAAUUAAAUAAUGAAAAGGAGCAUGAUGAAUAGACAAAAAAGAAAAAAAAAGUGUGUAGUUGAUUCUUUCUCCCCCCAUUGCCGUGAGCUAAAGAAAAGGAAUGAGAGAAUUUUUGUUCAUCCUUUUCUCAUCCUUUGGUUCAUCCUUGGCCAAAAUUUUAAGGAGGAAAGAAGAAGAAAGGUGAAGAGAUUCGGCCAUGCAUGUAGCUAGGCUAAGGUAUGUUUGAUGAUGUUUCAUGAGAUGCAUGCAUGUUUUAGUUGUUAGCUUGAGUUCUACCUAGCCCAUGGUCUAAAUCUUGCUAUGUGAUGGAAAUGGCACUUGACCAUGGGUACAACAUUCUUGGUUGAUGUUUGAUGUUGUGGGAUGAGGCAUGAGGAUGAGUUAAGAUUCGGCCUAGGUGGAGGUCGUGCUAAUGCCAUUGCAUGCAAAAUAUGAAGCUUGUUAAUGAUGCAUGUGAUGAUGGCUUGAUGAUUUUUGAACCUCCUUUUUAGCAUUUUUUUUGUGUGAGCACAUAUGUGCAUUGAUUGCUAAAUGGAGAAGAAUCGGCUAGCAAGAUGUGUGCUAAGGCCGAAUGUAACUUUGCAUGUUAAUGAGCAAUGCAUGUGUUAAAUUGAUGAAAAGAGGGAGGAUGCUUUACUAGUGUGUAUAUGUGUGUAUUAAGUGUUGAAAUCGACCCCAAAAAUAGGCAUGCAUAUUCGGCCAAGGGGAAAGAAAUUAGCUAAUAUGUUGUGUUGAUGCAUGAUUUUUGCAUGUAUGAGACUUUAAUGUCUAAUGUAUAAAUAUGGGCUAAGUGCCUUGUGUUCAUCUUUUUGAUGCCUAAAUGAUGAAAUUGUCGAAUGAUUAGUUGGGUAACAAAAGAAGCAUUCGGCCAUCACUUGAGAGUUUGUGUGAUGUUGGGUUUAAAAUUAGCAAAGGUGACUUACCUAAUGCAUGUGCAUGUGUGAUUAGAUUUUUGAUGAUAUGGUAGUUGCGUGAGGUUAUUAGCCGAAUAUACUAACAUACAUAUACAUGUGAAAUUGGAUUGUAAAUAUUUAGCAAGGUGGUUAAACUAGUUAAAUUAUUGAUUAAGCUCAAGGAGUUAAAGGAGGUGAAUCGAGCAAAGGCAAAGAAAAGGUCAUCGAGUAGCCGAGUUGGAACCGUCUUACCCAACACGAGGUAAGUCAUUAAGCAUGUAGUUGGUAUUGUUUUAAAUGGUCAUAAUGUGUAUGUAUUGAUGCUGAAUGGAAUGAAUAAAUAUACAUAUAUAUAUAUAUAUAUGCAUGUACGUAUGGGAUGAUGAAAUUGUUGAAUGAAAAGAAAAGAGGUAAGAUGUACUAAGUUGUUGAUCUCGGCACUAAACGUGCGGGUAUAACCAUUUAUGACCAUGAGAUUGGCGCUAAGUGCGCGGGAGUAAAUUGUACAGCACUAAGUGUGCGAUUUGGCUAUGUAGCACUAAGUGUGCGAUUUGACCAUGUUGCACUAAGUGUGCGAAAUGAAAAUGAUGCACUAAGUGUGCGAAUUGACCAUGCGACACUAAGUGUGCGAGUUGACUAUGUAGCACUAAGUGUGCGAGUUUGAUUAUGUGGCACUAAGUGUGCGAGUUGAUUAUAUAGCACUGAGUGUGCGGACUUAAUAUAUAUUCUUGAAUCAUUAUGGACACUAAGUGUGCGACGCUAUUGAGUCGAUCACGGACGGCGGAUCGGGUAAGUGUCUUGAGUUCAUGGCUAAUAGGUGCUAUGUCGAUACUUGGUGAUGAGCUUGGUAAGUUUGAACCUAUGUGACAAAUAUACUUGAAGUCACGUACAUGAAAUUUAUCGUAGAAUGGGUGAAAGGCCGUUUAGUUGUAUGUUGGUAACGAAAAUAAAAUGAUUUAUGAAAAUGCCUCGAAUAUCCUAUUGAUGAGUAUGUGGAUUGUGAAUGCAUAAAUUGGUAUGAAACCAAACCGAUAGGUCGGAGGAACUAUGGUAUGGUUCGGAAUGGAUGGAGUAAUUAGCCUCGUUCCAUUUUGUUUUCUCUUGUGAUAAUGUUAUGGAUGGAUGGUAGUGCAUAGCUUAUGACUUACUGAGUUAUAAACUCACUCGGUGUUUCCUUGUCACCCAUUAUAGGUUGCUUGGACUCAUCUAUUUUUGCGGGGUCGGGCCGUCAUCGAAGUCAUCACACCGGAUAGCAAGUUUUGGUACUUUCUUCUUAGUUGGAUUAGAAGAACAUUUUGGCAUGUAUAAGCUAUUACGUUGUGUUUGAACUUUGGCAUGUAAACUUUAAGCCAUGCGAAAAUGGCACGAAUGUUCGAUUGAGUUGGAUCAAGGGUAGGCAUGAAAUGGGCCUAGAUACUUUCGUAACAGAUGCUGGCAGCAGCAGUGUCAUGAGAUUGAAAAAUCACUAAAAAUAGUAGGAGUGGAAUUAAUUGACGAAUAAAUUAUGUAAUCGAAGCUCGAUGAGUCUGUUUUCAUGAGGAAGUAACGAAAAGAUCAUAUGGGCAGUAUAUUGAGAGAUAAUCAGAUUUUUGUGGGACAGGGCCAGAACGGUUUCUGGAUUCCCUGCUCCGACUUUGGAAAUUCAUUAUAAAUUAACCAGAGAUAAUUAGGGGUUGUACCAUAUAUUUACAGAUUCCUCUCUGAGUCUAGUUUUCAUAGAAACAAACGGCAUCAGUAUUGGAGCCCUGUGCAGUGAGAUAUCCAAGUCGUAAUGGGCAAAGGUCAGUGUAGUCGACCCCUGCAACAUGGGAGACUUUGACUAAUAAACUGUACUAAUUGGCCCAACCAAAAAUUCUAGAAAAAAAUACAUAGAUGGGCACAUGAGUCUAGUUUCUGGGAAAAAUCACGAAACUGAUUUUCGAGUUAUGAAACUCAAGAUAUGAUUUUUAGAACGACUAGUACACAGAUUGGGCAGUGUCUGGAAAAUAAACUUUAUAAGGGGUUAAAGUCAGUUAACACCUCGUGUUCGACUCCGGUGUCGGUUUCGGGUUCGGGGUGUUACAGAUUCGGUCCUAAAAUUUAUUUGUGACCCACGAGGAGCCGUAUGAGGUGAAAAUCUCAUGUACGGUUUUGGACUAGCGAUGUAAACAGUGAUGUUAUCAUCGACUAUAAUUAUCUAAUAGUUCAAGUACAGUUGAUAUAGUUGAGGCGCAAUCAAAAUAUGGUUUUUGGGGAUGGAAUUUGUGGCGUCAGCCAAUAGGGUUUAUCAUUUUUCUAAUUUCUUCUCUAGUAGAAUGCGAGAGAUUACCUUUUGAUUUACCAGAAGCGGAGGAAGAAUUAGUAGCAGGGUAUCAAAUCGAAUAUUCAGGUAUCAAAUUUGGUUUAUUUUACGUUGCUUCCUAUCUAAAUCUAUUACUUUCUUCGUUAUUUGUAACAGUUCUUUACUUGGGGGGUUGGAAUACUUCCAUUCCGUACGUAUUCGUCCCCGAGCUAUUUGAAAUAAAUAAAAUAAAUGGAAUCAUUGGAACGACAAUUGGUAUCUUUAUUACAUUAGCUAAAACUUAUUUGUUUUUGUUUAUUUCUUUCGCAACACGAUGGACUUUACCUAGGUUAAGAAUGGACCAAUUAUUAAAUCUCGGGUGGAAAUUUCUUUUACCCAUUUCUCUCGGUAAUCUAUUAUUAACAACUUCUUUCCAACUUCUUUCACUGUAAAGAAAAAAAGAAUAUGAGAUUCAUGACUUGGUUCAAACAAGAGAAAGAAACAAACAUAAAAUUAUUCAUAGAUAUUCACGAUAUGUUCCCUAUGGAAACUGGGUUCAUGAAUUAUGGCCACCAAACAGUCCGAGCAGCAAGGUACAUUGGUCAAGGUUUCAUGAUUACCUUAUCCCACGCAAAUCGUUUACCCGUAACUAUUCAAUAUCCUUAUGAAAAAUUAAUCACAUCAGAGCGUUUCCGUGGACGAAUCCAUUUUGAAUUUGAUAAAUGCAUUGCUUGUGAAGUAUGUGUUCGUGUAUGCCCUAUAGAUCUACCCGUUGUUGAUUGGAAAUUUGAAACGGAUAUUCAAAAAAAAUGAUUGCUUAAUUACAGUAUUGAUUUCGGAAUUUGUAUAUUUUGUGGUAACUGCGUUGAGUAUUGUCCAACAAAUUGUUUAUCAAUGACUGAAGAAUAUGAACUUUCUACUUACGACCGUCACGAAUUGAAUUAUAAUCAAAUUGCUUUAGGCUGUUUACCAAUGACAGUAAUUGACGAUUAUACAAUUCAAACAAUUUUGAAUUCAAUUCAAAGAAAAACUCAGUAAGUAAACCUCUUGUUCUAUUAAAGUAAAGAGAAAUUUCCCAUUCAUUCUUUUAAGGUUCCAUUUUGGUUUAAGUUAAAACACUAUUUGGUUUGAAUUAAAAAAAGAAUGAGGCAUUUGGUCAAUAAAUAAUAAUUCAAUUACAAAUUAACAGGUUGAUAAGAAUUUCAGAUUCCUUUUUAUUGAAAAUUAAAAUAUAUUAAUAUAUUCGUAAUUAUUUCGAAAUAUAUAGUUUCAAAUAACAAAAUACCCUUUUCUUUUGAACAAAAAAGAAUAAAAAACGAAACUAUCCAAUAAUUGUGCUUAGAGCAAUUCACGCCUAAUAGAUUAGGAUUUUAUUCAAUUAGGAACGUAUCAUAAAAAAAAUUCCUGGUCGGGUCAAUAAGAUCAUGAAAAGCAUUUCAAUUUAUUUAUCUCUUAUUUUACACAGAAUGGAUUUGCCUGGACCAAUACACGAUUUUCUUUUAGUUUUUCUGGGAUCGGGUCUUAUAUUAGGAGGCCUGGGAGUGGUAUUACUUACCAAUCCAAUUUAUUCUACCUUUUCAUUGGGAUUGGUUCUUGUUUGUAUAUCCUUAUUUUAUAUUCUCUCAAAUUCUCAUUUUGUAGUUGCUGCCCAGCUCCUUAUUUAUGUGGGAGCCAUAAAUGUUGUAAUCCUAUUUGCUGUGAUGUUCAUUAAUGGUUCAGAAUAUUAUAAAGAUUUUAAUCUGUUGACCAUUGGAAUGGCCUUACUUCGUUGGUUUGUACAAGUAUUCUUGUUUUGCUAAUUACUACUAUAUUAGAUACAUCAUGGUACGAGAUUAUUUGGACUACAAGAUCAAAUCAAAUUAUAGAACAAGAUUUGAUAAGUAAUAGUCAACAAAUUGGAAUUCAUUUAGCAACCGAUUUUUUUCUUCCAUUUGAAUUCAUUUCAAUAAUUCUUUUAGUUGCUUUGAUAGGUGCAAUUGCUGUGGCUCGUCAGUAAUAAAUCUUUCUAACUAGGAAUAGCAAGCAAUCAAAAUGAAACCUUUUUCUGUUUUUUCUAUCUUAUCGCAUCCAAUCAUUUCAACAAAAUGAAUAUUGCUCGUGUAUAAAAUAGAAAUUCGUUGAUUCGAUAUAUUUCCAAUAGAUUCUUUUUUUUUGUUAUACUCUAGUCAAUCAAAUCUGUUGAAUUAUUGUUCAUAUUAAUAAUGAAUCGAAAUUGAUAAGGAGUUGGUCAAUGAUGCUCGAACAUAUACUUGUUUUGAGUGCCUAUUUAUUUUCUAUCGGUAUUUAUGGAUUGAUCACGAGUCGAAAUAUGGUUAGAGCCCUUAUGUGUCUUGAACUUAUACUGAAUGCGGUUAAUAUAAAUUUUGUAACAUUUUCUGAUUUUUUUUUAUAGUCGGCAGUUAAAGGGAAAUAUUUUCUCAAUUUUUGUUAUAGCUAUUGCAGCCGCUGAAGCAUCUAUUGGAUCAGCUAUUGUGUCCUCGAUUUAUCGUAACAGAAAAUCAACGCGUAUCAAUCAAUCAACUUUGUUGAAUAAGUAAUAUUAAUAAUAUUAAAUUAUAAGAUUCACCAAUUUGAAUUAGGAAGUACAAUAUGUUGGAAUCUACAUCAUGUUUUCGAAAACAUAAGAAAUCAAAGUAUCUUGGUCCUUUCUUAUGAGUUGAUCCCGAAGGAAAUUGAUUAGAAAAUUUCUGGUAAAUCGUUGAUUCAUCUGGUGUUUAACUAUAUUUAUUUACAAUUUUACUAGAUUGAAAUUUUAUGAUGUUCAAAAAUUUAUAGAUCCCAUGUCACAUUCAGUAAAAAUUUAUGAUACAUGUAUUGGGUGUACUCAAUGUGUCCGAACCUGAUACGAUCCUCCUCGGAAGAGUCGAGUCGUAUUAGUGUGCCCGAUCGUCAACAAGAAGUUACAUUGGGUUUAAUUGAAAAGGUCGGAUGAAGGAAGGAAGGAUAUUGGUUUUGGGUUCGGAUUAGAAUAGGUAAGAAGGAUUUGAAAGUUUGGGUUUGGAGCCCGAAUAGGUAUGGAUGAAGGAAUUGGUUCAAUUAGGUAAGGGGAAAUUGAAGAAAUGGAAUAGUCGGUUUAGGUACAAUUGGUAAAUGGAGAAAUGGGGUUGAACAAAAAGUACAAACAAGAACCAAUACCGAUUUGGUAUCGACCCGUUGUUUAUAAGCUCUUUUAGUUCGGUUUGGAAUUGGUAAAUGAAAACCUCGACCCACUAUCUAACAAGAUAGGAACCUCGGUAUGUUUGAACGCCACACUACGAGUAGUGAUAAGUUCGGUUUCGACAAAGAACAACGGUUGACACACUAGACGCUAGGAAGCCAAUCGAAUCUUUGAACGAAAUUUGAGAAAAAGUUUUGCCUAACAAAUUCGGCAGCAUAACAUUAACAAAAGUCUCAAAAGUUCUUUACAUGAAAAAAAUAACAAGUAUUUAUAGGCCUAAAGUCUAGGUAGCCGAAUGGCUUUUCAUGCUUACAAAUUAAGUAAAAGAAAAUUCUAGAAAAUUAAUCCUUAAUGUGCAUGACUAGAUUCUGCUAUGGAACAUGAAUUGUGAAUGCUUCACGUUUAAGAAAUGACAAGUGAAUGAAUGAAGCUCCAAGGGACACUUGCUAGGUUCGGCCUCCCUUGUUUAAUAAGCAAUUAAGUGGCAACCUUUAGCCAAAAAUCAUGAAUUAAAUGGUGUAACUCCAAGGGCCAAAAUAGGUGUGAAUGCCGUAACUUGAAGAGUCCAUAGGUGUGAACAUGGUGAACCAAAAGGACUUGUUGUGUGAACACAAUGUGAACGGAAUGUAAAGGUUCAUGGAGAAAGUCAUUCGGCCAACCAUCUCAUGCAUGUAUUAUGUCCCUUUGACCGAAUAGUCACUUGUGUAGAUGAAGAGGUAGCACAACAUUCAUGGCUCUUGGUCAUUCAUGAACCUUGGGAAUUAAUGUACCUUGCCAUUCAUGCAUUCCACCAAUUCAUGCAUCUUGAGUGUCCAUGCACCCUCCAAAAGACAUGUUGCUUCAAGGUCCAUACAUCCAUUGAGUUUCUACAAGAAAAUGUGAACAGAAUUAAUUCAAGCUAAUGUGAACAUAAAUGUAAACAUUAAAUUCGGUUAUGACAAUUUAAUUAAUAUCAAUAAACACUUUUAAGACAUAUUUAAUAAAACUAAUGUGAACUAAAUUUAAUAUGUGGUUUAUUAAUUAACUAAUUAAUGAAAUUAUUAAAUAAAAAUUUAAUAGCAGUCAAAUGAAGUCAAAGUAGUCUUCAUGAGCUAGAAUUCAACUUAUGAGCUAAAACCGAGCUGGACUUGGACCCAUGAGCUGGUACUGAGCUGGACCCGAGCUCGGGAACUGGAAGUGAGCUGGUGGCGAGCUCGAUGAGUUGAGCUGGACUUGCAGGUAGUUGCAUGGUGAGCUCAAGGAACUGGAAUCAGCUUUCUCGGAGCGUCCUAAUGGCGUUUCAAUCCAAAGUUGAGCUACAAAAGCUGUGAUGGACUCCUUAAACUUCUUGGCUUGAGCUCGAGUAACAAGACCUUGUGGUAGCACCAUAGAAUCCUCGCUCGAACUAGCUGAACCAUGGGGCGCGAUCACAUCAUUCCCCCCUCUUCAAAACGACUUGUCCUUAAGUUAAAAUCUGCAUUAAAAGGGGUUAAAUCUGACACAUUAAAAGUAGCGCUGACAUUAUAAUCUCCUGGCAAGUCAAUUUUAUAAGAAUUUUCAUUUAUUCGCUCUAAAACUUGAAAAGGACUGAUACGAACUGUCUCAAGAAGAGUCGAGUCGUAUGUAGAUUGCCCGAUCGUCUACGAGAAGUUACGUUAGGAUUAGUUGAGUUGAAGGUAUAGUCAGAGUAGAAAGAGGGGUACGAAUGGAAUGGUCGGAACGAAAGGGUAGGAACAAAAUGGUAUGAACAAAUUGGUCGGUUUAGGUUCGAUUAGGUAAAGAAGAAAGAACGGGUUUGAACUACUAAAGGUACUUUCAAGAACCAAAUAUCGAAAUGGUAUCGACCCGUUGAUUUAGCCUUUUGAGUUCGAUUAUAGGUUUGGUAAGGGAAACCUCGACCCACUAUCUAACAAGAUAGGAACCUCGGUAUGUUGAAUGCCACACUACGAAUAGUGAUAAGUUCGGGUACGACAAAGAACACGGUUGACACAACUAGAACGCUAGGAACGCCAAACGAAUCUUUGAACGAAAUAUAAGAAAAGUAUGCCUCACAAUUUCGGCAGCAUAACAUUAACAAAAGUUUCAAAAGUCCUUUACAUGGAAAUUGAAUAAGUAUUUAUAAGCCUAAGUCUAGGUAGCCGAAUGGCCUUUCAUACUUACACAUUAAUUAAAAGAAAAUUCUAGAAAAAUAACUCUUAAUAUGCAUGACCAGAUUCAGUUUUGGGAAUGGUGGAUGAAUGCAUCUUCAUGCUUAAGAAAACUCAAAGUGAAUGCAUGAUAUCCAAUGGUCACUUGUAGAUUCGGCCAACCUUGUUAAAUGAAGCAAUGUUUGGCCAAAAAGUAUGAAUUAAUUGUGGACACUCCAAGGGCCAUCAUGUGUGUGAAACCGAAUGUUGAAGAGUCUUCUAGUGUGAACAAGGUGAACCGAAUGGUCUUGCCAUGUGAACAUAGGUGUGAACGAAUUAAGGAGAGUCAUGGGGAAGCUAAUUGGCCAAGCUAUCUUCAUGCAUGUGUGAGUGCCCUUUGGCCAAAUGGUCACCUUGGAGAAUGAAGAGAUAGCACACCAUACAUGAAUGGAAACAUUCAUGAACCUUAAAGACAUUGAAUAUGGUCAUACAUGCACUUGGCCGAACAUGCACCUAAGAGAUUCAAGCCCCCCAACCGUCCAUGCACCUUCAAAAUUCAUGCUUGCUUUUAAUCUCCAUAUGUCCAUUGCGUUCCUACAAGAAAUGUGAACAUAAUUAAUUCAAACUAAUGUGAACACAAAUAUCAACAUUAAAUUCGGUUAUGACAAAUUUAAUUAUCAUCAAUAAACACUUUUAAGACAUACUUAAUAUAUAACUAAUGUGAACUAAAUUUAAUAUGUAGGAUAUUAAUUAACUAAUUAUUGAACUUAUUAAUUAAAAAGUCAAUAGUAGUCAAAUGAAUUCAAAGUGAACUCCAUGAGCUGAUGGUUAAUUCAUGAGUUAAACCCGAGCUGGGCCUAAACUCGUGAGCUGAUAAUGAGUUGGUCCCGAGCUAAUGAGCUGGUGUGGAGCUGCAUGGGAGCUAACUUGAACUGAAGGUGAGCUUGGUGAGCUGAAAUGAACUUGUAGAAAAGUUUGGCAUGGAUUUCCAAAAUGGCCACUAACUGGUUCGAUAGGUCUAGCAUUAACAUCAUCCCACACAUGCUGAACUAAAGCUAUAACAGCUUCUUUAAAUUGUUUUGCACGAGCCCUUGUGAUCGACCCUUGAGGUAGCACCAUCGAAUCUCGGCUUGGACUUGGCUUAUGGGAAGCCGUGAUCGUAUGAUCCUCCCCCUCUUGAAAAUGACUUGUCCUCAAGUCAGUAUCUACAUCGAAAGGAGUCAAGUCAGAGACAUUAAAACUAGCACUAACAUUGUACUCACCUGGUAAGUCAAGCUUAUACAAAUUUUCAUUGAUUCGCUCGAUGACUUGGAAGGGGCCGUCUCCUCGCGGCAACAACUUAGAUCUUCAUUGAGUCAGAAACCUUUCUUUUCUCAUGUGCACCCAGACCCAGUCUCCGAGUUCAAAUACAACUCGUUUUUGUCCUUUGUUGGCUCGUUGGACGUAUUGCUCGGUUCGAGAUUCAAUAUUCUCUCGGACUUUCCUAUGUAAUUCCUUGACAAAUUCAGCCUUUUUCCUUGCAUCUGUAUGGACAAAUUGAUCAACAGGAAAAGGUAAUAAGUCAAGAGGAGUAAGAGGAUUAAAUUCAUAGACAGUCUCAAAAGGAGAGAAUUUGGUUGCCGAGUGAACAGAGCGAUUAUAAGCGAACUCGAUGUGGGGUAAGCAUUCUUCCCACGUCUUGAGGUUCUUUCGUACCAAUGCUCGCAACAACUUUGACAAAACUCGGUUUACCACCUCAGUUUGGCCAUCCGUUUGGGGAUGACAAGUGGUUGAAAACAACAACUUCGUCCCAAGUUUUCCCCAUAAUGUCCGCCAAAAGUGACUCAAGAACUUUGUAUCUCGAUCGGAAACAAUCGUUCUUGGUAAUCCAUGCAGUCGUACAAUUUCCCUAAAAAACAAAUUAGCAAUAUACACAGCGUCAUCAGUUUUAACACAAGAAAUAAAAUGUGACAUUUUAGAGAAUCUAUCGACUACAACAAAGAUUGAGUCCUUCCCUGUCUUAGUUUUCGGUAAUCCAAGAAUAAAAUCCAUAGAGACAUCGGUCCACGGGGUGUCAGGAAUGGGAAGUGGUGUGUAAAGUCCAUGUGGUUGGACCUUCGACUUAGCCCGUUUACAAAUUAGGCAGCGUUCACAGAUCCGCUCCACGUCUCUCUGCAUUCGCGGCCAGUAAAAAUAUUCAUGGAGGGUCGACAAUGUCUUGCUUAUUCCAAAGUGUCCCAUUAGGCCACCACUAUGCGCCUCCAACACAAGUAACUCUCGAAUGGAGCCUUGUGGUAUACACAACCUAUUUUCUUUAAAAAGAAACCCUUCGUACCUGAAAAAUUUCUCAAAAGACCCAUUUUCACAAGCAGCAUAUAUAUUUCCAAAAUCCUCAUCAUUAGCAUACAACUCUUUCAUAUGAUAAAAACCAAGUAACUUAGAAUCAAGAGUUGUCAAUAAGGUAUAUCUCCGUGACAAGGCAUCAGCCACUACAUUUUCUUUACCUUUCUUGUAUUUGAUGACGCAGGGAAAUGAUUCUAAAUACUCGACCCAUUUCGCAUGUCGUUUGUUGAGUUUAUGCUGACCUUUAAUAAACUUAAGUGCUUCAUGAUUGGAAUGAAUCACGAACUCCUUCGGUCUUAGAUAGUGCUGCCAAGUUUCAAGUGAUCGAAUCAAGGCAUACAUCUCUGUGUCAUACACCGAAUAAUUGAGGGAAGCGCCACUUAAUUUCUCACUGAAGUACGCCACCGGUCUUUCGUCUUGGGUCAACACAGCCCCGAUCCCUACACCUGAAGCGUCACACUCAAUUUCAAAUGUUUUAGUAAAAUCUGGAAGUGACAAUAGAGGAGCUUUCACAAGACAUUCUUUAAUCAAAUUAAAUGAAUGUUCUUGAUCUUCAGACCAGUGAAAUGCGGAGUUUUUCUUAAUCACACUUGUUAAGGGUGCAGCAAUGGUACUAAAGUUGGGCACAAAUCGACGGUAGAAGCUAGCCAAUCCAUGGAAGCUUCGAACUUGGCUAAUGUUCAUUGGACGCGGCCAUUCUUGAAUCGCUUGAACUUUUUCUUAACCCACCUCCAAACCGUUGGCACUCACGACAUAACCUAAAAACACAACUUUAUCAGUGCAAAAUGAACACUUUUUGAGAUUAGCAUACAAUACCUCUUUUCGUAAAGUUUCCAACACCGCUCGUAAAUGUGGUACGUGCUCCUCUAAAGUUUUGCUGUAGACCAAGAUAUCGUCAAAGUAUACAACACAAAAUUUACCAAUAAACGCACGUAAUACAUGGUUCAUCAAUCUCAUAAAAGUGCUAGGGGCAUUUGUAAGGCCGAAUGGCAUUACCAACCAUUCGUAAAAACCCAAUUUCGUUUUGAAGGCCGUCUUCCAUUCAUCACCUUCUCGCAUUCGUAUUAGAUGAUAGCCACUUUUAAGAUCGAUUUUCGUGAAAAUCUGGGCUCCACUUAAUUCGUCAAGCAUGUCAUCAAGACGGGGUAUCAGGUGUCGAUACUUGAUAGUGAUUUUGUUGAUGGCGCGACAGUCCAUGCACAUCUGCCACGACCCAUCUUUCUUGGGUACAAGCAGCACCGGCACCGCACAGGGACUUAAGCUCUCUCGGAUGUAUCCUUUGUCUAGGAGUUCAGUAAUUUGCUUUUGCAAUUCUUUCAUUUCUUCGGGAUUACUCCGAUAAGUAGGAUGGUUGGGUAGUGCAGCUCCGGGUACUAAGUCUAUUUGAUGUUCGAUGCCUCAGAUAGGGGGCAGCCCACUUGGUAUUUUGUCCGGAAAUAUGUCUUCAAAUUCCUGAAUCAAAGACAAUACAGAAGCAGGCAAGUUUUUAGGUAACUCGUUAGUAUUCAACAAUGCCUCCUUGUACAUAAAUACAUACAUAGGCUGUCUCAAAAACAUCGCCCGCCGGAUAUCACUAACCCUCGCAAACACACGCAUUUUUCCACUUUCUUUUUCCUUUUUCCUUGUUUUUGUUUCUUUUCAUUUUCUCUCACAUUUUUAGUCUUUUCUCUCUCUUUUUCCUUAAUUUUCUCUUUUGCACUCUUUUCUUUUUCUCUCGCUUGUUCCACUGAAAGUUUAAGUUUUUGUUGAUCCUCGUACACUUGCUUCGAAGUGAGGGGUGCAAGUGUCACGUUCUUGCCAAGAUGUUUGAAGGAGUAUCUAUUAGUGUAACCAUCAUGCAUCACCCGUCGGUCGAACUGCCAUGGUCGUCCUAGAAGAAAAUGGCCCGCGUGCAUUGGCACUACAUCACAUAAUACUUCAUCAGAAUACUUCCCGAUGCUAAAGGACACUAGGACUUGUUUUGUCACUUUGAAUUCACCACCAUCGUUAAGCCACUGGAGCUUGUAUGGAUUCGAGUGCUUGGUGGUUGACAGCCCUAACUUUUCCACCAUGAGGGUGCUUGCCACGUUUGUGCAACUCCCUCCAUCGAUUAUGAUGCUACACAUUUUCCCUUGCACUUGACAUCUCGAAUGAAAAAUGUUCUCACGUUGUUGUUCGUCUUCCACACUUUGAAGACUUAGGCUUCGCUUGAUGACGAGUAACUCACCUUCAACGGGUUGUUCUAAGUCCUCCUCAACUUCGGAAUUCGAUUCAGUAUUGUUCUCUUCCUCGUCCUCCUUUUCAAUCUCACCGUCGGCCCUUAUCACCAUGGUACGUCUAUUCAGGCACUGACUCGCUAUAUGUGCACGACCAAGAAAGUUGAAGCACUUUAUGUCCCUUGAACGGGCGGUGGAACUUUCAGGAGCCUUACCUUUACUUGACUCAGCAAUAGGCUUAUUCGCCUUAGAUAUUAUUGAAGAAUCCUUCGUUCGAUUUGUUGGAAAACCCUUGCUUGUGCUUUGGCCCCAUUUAGAAGGAUUGGUGUUAGGAUAGGCUCGGGUGGUACCUUUUCACUUCAACUGCUUCUCCACUUUGAUAGCCAUGUGGACCAUGUCCACAACCUCAAUGUAAUGUUGCAGUUCUACGACAUUUGCAAUCUCUCGAUUAAGUCUGGCUAGAAAGCGAGCCAUUGUGGCUUCUCGAUCUUCUUGUACAUCGGCACAGAUCAUAGCCACUUCCAUUUCUUUAUAAUAAUCUUCCACACUCUUCAUCCCUUGGAUGAGAUUUUGGAGUUUUUGAUGCAACUCCCGAUGAUAGUAGGAUGGAAUGAAUCGUCGUCGCAUAACCGCCUUCAUUUCGGUCUAAGUGGAAAUGGGAUGCUCCCCGUUACGCCUUCGACUAGUGGUCAACUGAUCCCACCAUAUCAUUGCGUAAUCUGAAAACUCAAUUGCGGCGAGUUUGACUUUCUUAUUUUCAGAGUAGUUAUGACAUUCGAACACUAGUUCGAUUUUCUUCUCCCACUCAAGGUAUGCCUCGGGAUCAGAUUUACUUUGGAAAGGAGGGAUGGAGAGUUUGAUAUUCUUCAAGUCAUCAUCUUCCCGCCUUCGAUCUACUUGUCCACGGUUUCGAGGACGUCUCCUUUCUAGGCUUAUGUUAGACCCGUGAUCACUUUCAUCUUCACUAUUUUCAUUAACAACAUCAUCUUAAACCCUUGGUUGUCUUCGUCGUUGAUCGGGCCCUUCACGUCUUUCCUAGCAACUUCAGGAUAUUCAUCGCGUUGUCUUUGGGCCUCGACUUGGUAGAGUCGAUCUUCAAGAGGAUUAAGCCUUCGAUCAUGUAAUCGUUCCAUCUCACGCAAAAGGGCUUGCAUUUGCAAAUCUGGAACGUUUCUGACGGGUUGUCGCCCUUGUUGUUCUUCCAUGUUUUGUCCACUAUUUUGGGACAUCUAUUCGUUUAAGAUAGCCUCACAAACAAAUCCUCUCAAUCCGCUCAAAAAGAAAGAGCUUGAUGACACUCACACUCAUGUUUACACUCUUAGUUCGGCUUUUACCUCCCCUCGAAUGCGCUCACGCUCUCUUGCCUUUUACCUCUCUUGACUUUUCUCGUAAUUUCGUAAGCGUCCUUGGUCUAGGUGGUCGGUUCAAAAGGGAUAGCAAGUGAUUGAUGUAUUCGAUAUAGGGUAGGCUGAAAGAAUAGGGAAUUGGGUAAAAAAUGUGGCGAAUUAGGGAGAGUAGAAUAGAAGAAGGGUCGGGAACUAUAUCAGAUCAAAGCUUGACGAUCAAAUAACAAUUGAUUUGCAUAAAUCACUCUUUUUUUCGAUUUUUUUUAUUUUUUUUUGAAUUUUUUUUGAUUUUUUUUAACUUGUAUAACUUUUUUUGUUGUACUAUAUCGACAAGCUAAAUACAAUAAAAACACUUUUGUACAUGAUUUUUUUUCUUCAGCUGCGUAGAUUUUUGUUUUUAUAGCAACAAUAACAAACUAAUCGAAAUGAGAAAACUUCAGUAUACAAAUUUUUUUUUCUGAACCUACCUCGGGAAUGCUCCGCUUCGAACAUCUAAGCUUCUCGUUUUGGUAGCUUUGAUACCAGAUGAUACGAACCGUCUCGAGAAGAGUCGAGUCGUAUGUAGAUUACCCGAUCGUCUACGAGAAGUUACGUUAGGAUUAGUUGAGUUGAAGGUAUAGUCAGAGUAGAAAGAGGGGUACGAAUGGAAUGGUAGGAAUGAAAGGGUAGGAACAAAAUGGUAUGAACAAAUUGGUCGGUUUAGGUUCGAUUAGGUAAAGAAGAAAGAACGGGUUUGAACUACUAAAGGUACUUUCAAGAACCAAAUACUGAAAUGGUAUCGACCCGUUGAUUUAGCCUUUUGAGUUCGGUUAUAGGUUUGGUAAGGGAAACCUCGACCCAAUAUCUAACAAGACAGGAACCUCAGUAUGUUGAAUGCCACACUACGAAUAGUGAUAAGUUCGGGUACGACAAAGAACAUGGUUGACACAACUAGAACGCUAGGAACGCCAAACGAAUCUUUGAACGAAAUAUAAGAAAAGUAUGCCUCACAAUUUCGGCAGCAUAACAUUAACAAAAGUUUCAAAAGUCCUUUACAUGGAAAUUGAACAAGUAUUUAUAGGCCUAAGUCUAGGUAGUCGAUUGGCCUUUCAUGCUUACACAUUAAUUAAAGAAAAUUCUAGAAAAAUAACUCUUAAUAUGCAUGACCAGAUGAUGUGAUCCGGCCCGGAUUAAUUGAGUCGUUUCACGUAAUUGCCCGAUCGUCGACGAGGAAUAGUUAAGUUAUCGAAAAUAGGAUGAAAUAAGGCUAAAGAUGCGGAAGCUUUCAAAUGGUUUUAAAGGUUGGCUAAGGUGAUGGUAAAUUUAUAAGGGUAGUAGGCUCGAUUUAAGGAUAAAAAUAAGAAAAAUGGAAGUUGAUAAAUGAAGGCUCGGUUUUGUAAAAAGAUAUUAUAGUUGGGUAAAAUCUAGGAUAGUCGGUGGAAUGGAUAAAUGAGCUUAAACGCCAGAAACGAUUCAACACUAAAAAGUGUCACCCCGAUUUCUAUUCGGUUCAAGGUGGGAUUGCAGAAUUGUAGAAGGGUUGAACGCCACACCAAAGCAAGGUGAUAAGUUCAAAAGAGAAUGAUAGACGCCACUAGCACGCUAGAUAAGUCAGAUCGAAACUCGUACGAAUUUAGAGAGGAGAAAACUCACUCUUUGAACAAAGUUCAUUCAAAUGAUCCAAAAGUCAAAAGUCCUUUACAAAUGAAAUCAACAAACUAUUUAUACUAGUUUCUUAUGCUAACCGAAUAGUCCAUUCAUGAACUUAAUGAUUAAGUAAUGAACCUAAAUUAAGACAUGAACCUUCUAGAAAAAUGACCAAUGGUGUCCUUAUCCAUGUUCGGCCGAAUGGGAGAUGAAUGGGCAGCUUCAUGUAUGAGCAAACUUUGGAAGCCAAUGGGAUGCAUGAAACUCCCAAAGGGUGUCUCUUGACCGAAUAGGUGCUUAGGAAACUCCAAGGGUCCUCCCACAUGCAUCGAUUGUGCAUGGAACUUGGAAGGGGCCUUGAACCUAGCCAUACAUGCACUUGCAUUGAUUACCCCCCAUUCAUGCAUGUGUGCCGUCCAAGGGAGAUGCACCUUUCAAUAUGCAUUAACCUUCCAUGUACAUGAAUGUAUGUCCUCCAAACAUUGAACCGGUCCAUGCAUGUAUCCUCCCGUUCAAUUAACUUUCCCAUGGACCUUGCAUUAAAUGCCAUGAAUGUAUCUUCCAAAUUCGGCUAACCUACAAAAGUAAAUAACAUAAUUAAAUAACACACAACUAUUCAUAUAAUUAUAAUUUAAAAUAAUAACUAAAUAACUUAAUAUCACUAACUAAAUUUGAACACAAUAAUUAUAAGUCAACUUAUAAUAAAUUCAGGUAGCUCAAAAAUAGUCAAAACACUUAAUGAGUUGAAAUUGAGCUAGGGGUUUCGGCAUGAGCUGUAGCAAACUUAAUUAUAAACUAAAUUAAGACUUAGUUUAUUGAAAGAAAGAAAGAAGGAGCUGAAAGUAAGCUCGGUUGAGCUCAAACGAGCUGAAACAAGCUCAAAUGAGCUGAGUUGAGCUGGACGGUGCUCGAGGAGCUAGAAAUGAGCUAGGAUCAGCUUGCCAGCAAUGCACGGGUCCUUUGGAUAGUUGCUUCAAGCUGAUUUUGUGAGCUUUGGCCCUUGUUUCGAACCAAGGUUUUGCAUUAGAAGCUAAAAUAGCUUCUAGGAAAUGUUUAGCAUAAGCUUAGAACCAAGGUUUGCACUCGAGGAUGCCCCGGGCGUGCUCACAUCACCAGAUUCAGUUUUGGGAAUGGUGGAUGAAUGCAUCUUCAUGCUUAAGAAAACUCAAAGUGAAUGCAUGAUAUCCAAUGGUCACUUGUAGAUUCGGCCAACCUUGUUAAAUGAAGCAAUGUUUGGCCAAAAAGUAUGAAUUAAUUGUGGACACUCCAAGGGCCAUCAUGUGUGUGAAACCGAAUGUUGAAGAGUCUUCUAGUGUGAACAAGGUGAACCAAAUGGUCUUGCCAUGUGAACAUAGGUGUGAACAAAUUAAGGAGAGUCAUGGGGAAGCUAAUUGGCCAAGCUAUCUUCAUGCAUGUGUGAGUGCCCUUUGGCCGAAUGGUCACCUUGGAGAAUGAAGAGAUAGCACACUAUACAUGAAUGGAAACAUUCAUGAACCUUAAAGACAUUGAAUAUGGUCAUACAUGCACUUGGCCGAACAUGCACCUAAGAGAUUCAAGCCCCCCCAACCAUCCAUGCACCUUCAAAAUUCAUGCUUGCUUUUAAUCUCCAUAUGUCCAUUGCGUUCCUACAAGAAAUGUGAACAUAAUUAAUUUAAACUAAUGUGAACACAAAUAUCAACAUUAAAUUCGGUUAUGACAAAUUUAAUUAUCAUCAAUAAACACUUUUAAGACAUACUUAAUAUAACUAAUGUGAACUAAAUUUAAUAUGUAGGAUAUUAAUUAACUAAUUAUUGAACUUAUUAAUUAAAAAGUCAAUAGUAGUCAAAUGAAUUCAAAGUGAACUCCAUGAGCUGAUGGUUAAUUCAUGAGUUAAACUCGAGCUGGGCUUAAACUCGUGAGUUGAUAAUGAGCUGGUCUCGAGCUAAUGAGCUGGUGUGGAGCUACAUGGGAGCUAACUUGAACUGAAGGUGAGCUCGGUGAGCUAAACUGAACUUGUAGAAAAGUUCGGCAUGGAUUUCCAAAAUGGCCACUAACUGGUUCGAUAGGUCUAGCAUUGACAUCAUCCCACACAUGCUGAACUAAAGCUAUAACGGCUUCUUUAAAUUGUUUUGCACGAGCCCUUGUGAUCGGCCCUUGAGGUAGCACCAUCGGAUCUCGGCUUGGACUUGACUUAUGGGAAGCCGUGAUCGUAUCAAUUUCUUACCAUACUGACCUUUUUUUUUACUCAAUCCAUCUUACCUAUUUGAACCUUUCUCAACCUUUCUUCAACUAUCCAACUCCUUCAACUAAACUUUACGUAACUUCUUGUCGACGAUCGGGCAACUACGAAUAUGACUCGACUCUCCCGAGACGGAUCAUAUCAUUUGGUAUCAGAGCUACUCAAACGAGAAGUACGUACGACAAAAUCAUCCCGAGAAUAGUACAAGUGAAUGAAAGUAAGUAGGAUCCAGAAAAAAAAUAGUAUAAAAAAAUUUUCCGUAUACCGAAGUUUUCUCAUUUUGAUUAAUUUGUUGCUGUUACUAUAAAAAUAAAAAUCUACGCAGCCGAAGAAAAAAAAUCACGUACAAAAGUGUUCCUAUUGUGAUACGAGUCACAAAGGCCCAACCCAAGCUUAAGAAGGUGAUGGGCUCAAAUCAAGAAAAUCAAGAUUCACUUUCUUGUUUUCAAAACAAUCAAGAAAUCGAAUCUUGGCCCAAUUUUGCUAUUCGGAGCGAUUUCAAGAAUCAAGAAAAUCAAGAUUUCAAAUCUUGGAAAUCUUGGUCCAAGAAACCGAAUCUUGCAGCCAAAGCGCGUUGGAUCUCCAUUACGAGCGUCAACGACCCAAUUUCGGUAGGAGAUGGAUCACAAGCCCAAAUUCUUGAAGGCGAGGCCCAAUAACCAAAAUCCAGCCCAAUCAAGAAAUUUCUUCAUACUUAGUUGAAAAUCAGGCCAAAAUGUCAAAGGGCCCAAUUUUUAAACAUCUUACUUGUUUAAUUUAAUUUUUUAAUCUUUAGGAGCAUUACAUGUAAAAUUCGGCCCAAAACAGCCCAUAUAAGUGCAUGGCCGAAUUUACCUUGUUAUUUUAUUAAUUAGGUUUAAUUUUUUUAUUAGUUACUUGUGAGAUUAGGAUUUGUUGGAGGCCUAUAUAAGCAUUGGCCAGCCACCCUUUGUAAAAACAUCUUAUUAUUAUUUUUUCUAUCAAAUUUCAGAUUUGUUGAGUGCAGAAUUUUCUUUGGGGUUUUCUCCAAGAAUUCUCUCUUGAGUUUUCUUUAGAAGUUGUUUUAACAAUCUUUUGAUUGUGGGAGCCAUCUUCAACCUUCUUCUUGCCAUCAAUAUUCUUUGGAGGGGAGAUUAGAGCCGUUUGAAGAGAUUUGUGAAAUCUUUCGGGAUUUCAAGGAUCUUUAGGACUUAUCCUUUAAUUCUUGCUGUUUUCGAUUUCUUUCUUUACUUUUCUUUGCUUAUACUUGUGCCGAUUUCUCAUCUAAUAUUUUGCUGUUCUUGUUUGUUUUCCAGCAUUGAUUAAACUCAAGAUCUCAUCGUUUAAGUUGUUCUCCUAUUGGCAGCACCCAUUCGAACCCAAAAAUCCCCAAUUCCUAGGGUUUGGCCGAUUGGAUUUCUUUCAAUUUGGGAAUCAAUUGUUUGCUGGAAAUUGGGCAUUCUUGGCCGAAUCAAUUCCUUGGCAGAUUCGCAUCUUUUCUUUCUUCUCAAUUUCGUUUGAUUCAUCGUUUCUAUUUCUUUUCUUCUUGCUGCUCUUUUAAUUGAAUUUGGGAAUUUUAAAUUCAAAUCUGAUUCGGUUUAAUCUUAAUCUUUGUUUUUGAUUUCAGAUCUGUUCGUCUAGGAUCUUUCGUAGGAGUUUCUCGUGACUUGGCAACUCGAUCUUGGUCCCCUUGCAUUCCGUAUCAUUUGGUAUCAGAUUUUGGGUGUUUUGGGUGUUCUUGGUUGAUUUCUAAACUGAUCUCUAUUUUUUAAAGCAUAAACAGCAGUUUUACCCAGAAAAAAUGUUCAAAAAAAAUUCAUUUGAGUGGGUAAACGUUGUCCGAUUGAUCUUAAAUUUUACAUACAUGUUUUUGGAACUGUGAUUGAAUAUAAAAAAAUUAUUUCCGCAAACAAAUCAGUCAAAAAAGUCAAAAAAAUCAAAAAAGACGAAAUUCAAUAAAAAUUUACAAAAAGAUUCAGCGGGUUGAAUUUGGUGCCCAAAAUUUCCAGAUAAAAAAUUAAAUAUAUAAGGACACUCCAGAUUUAAUUUCGUGAUUUUUGGAGAUCGGGAACACCUCGAACGAAGUUGUCAAGUUACUCCGCAGUUUUUCAGGUUUUCUGUUUUCAGCAAUUUUUAUUGAUUCUUAGCUGUAGGUUUUCAUUUGUUUACCUUUAUUCUUCCUUUACGUUAUCUAACACCUUCUUGUUUCUUGUGUUAGUAGGAUUUAAACGUGUGCACAACUUCUUCCUCGGUGCAACACGAAUCAAUUGGUGUCUCGUCAGUUUUUGGCAUCCUAGUGCAAAUUAGGAUUCUUUGGUAGUUUGGUUCACACUCUCUAAUUGGUUGAUAUAAACUCUGAUAAAGAACUCACAAGAUUGAAUUCGACCUCAUUGACAAUUUGAUUUUUUCUUUUUGAGUGAUUAACGGUGAGGUUUGAUAACUUUUAUUUUUGAGUGUUGAGUGUUUUGUAGGUUUUAAAAAAAAUGUCUACAGGUGAUAAUAAUAGUGACAUAUUUAAAAAAUUCCAACAACAGUUGGAUGAACAGGCUGCUACUCUUCGAGCUUUGACUGCUACCAUCAAUGAGGUGCAAUUGAAUCAAAAACAUCAAUAUCGAGAUCCAAUUAAGGAAGAUAGGGAUAACCAGCCCCAUAGGUGCAGCCCUCAACGUGUCCCUAGAAUGGAUGAUGAUUUUUAUGAUCGUGGACAAUCAUCUUUGGCAAAACCAAAGAGCGAGCAGCAACGAGAACAUCUCUUUCAUACUCGCUGCCAUGUACAAGGUAAGCUUUGUAGAGUUAUUAUUGAUGGUGAAAGUUGCUCGAACAUAGCUAGCACGACGAUGGUGGAAAAGCUUUGCUUAACCACUACCAAGCAUCCACAACCUUAUCAACUACAAGGGCUUAGCAACGAAGGCCAAUUUAGGGUCACUCAACAAGUGUGCAUUGCCUUUUCUAUCGGUAAGUAUCAAGACGAAGUUGUGUGCGACGUAAUGCCUAUUCAAGCCUGCCAUUUGUUGCUAGGAGAACCAUGGCAACUGGAUCGAAAAGUCACUCACGAUGGUCGUACCAAUAGGUAUUCUUUCAAGCAUCAAGGAAAGAAACUUACCUUAGUGCCGCUCACUCCGGAACAAGUCCAUGAGGACCAAAUCAAACUGAGAAAUUCUGUUAAAACAAGUGAGGAAAAAGAAAAAGAGAAUGAAAAAGAGCAAAAAGAGAUUGAGAGUGAAAAGGAAUGUGAAAACAGAAAAGAAAAUUGAAAAAGAAGUUGAAGAAAGAAGAGAAAAUGAGUUAGAAAAAGAAACAAAAGAAAAAGACGAGGAAAGGCUAGUGAGGAAUGUUUCCACUAACCAAGAUAUGAAUUUUUCUUGUGUUGCUACUUUUCAGGUUCCCGAAAGAUCGAAAGAUAACUUUCAACUUCAAUACCUCUCAAAUGAAAGACGCUUUCAUACGAUCAACUUAGGCAAAGAUGAAAUCACACUACAUGAUCCCGAAGGUAAGCGAGGUAAAGAAAUUUUAGAAACCGAGUCCAGUGCAAAUUUGAAAAUUAUUAAUAAAACUUUUGGUGACUUAGUUCUUAAAAGAUCCCCUCAUUUUGAUCCGAUUAAUUGUUACUCUUCGAUUGUGGUUGAUAAAGUCAUUAUGAAAAGAAGCGUGAUUUGUUAUUCUCUUGAUUUACUUUGUGUAAAAUCCUCGAAUUUGUCCAAAUCUGUUUUGGAGAAUAAGGUAACGAAAUUUUCCAAAUUUGUUUUCAAUUUAUAUUCGUGCCUUAAACAGUUUAUGUGGUUGUACAUGAAGUUUGAGUUCCAUUUGACAAAGGUUAACUCAACAACGGAGAUUCGACUACACUAUGCCCCCGAUGAGCGAAGGUUUGUUUUAAAUGAAAAAGGUAAAAUCGACCAUUAUUCUUUUGCUUAUCAAGGUAAGAUGCUUGAAACCUUUGAAACACUUUUGUACUCCUCGGAUAGCGACAAAGAUCGUGUUGAUGAACACUUAGAUCAAAACGUGCUUGACUGUCCUAUUUUAUUUAUUGAUGAUAAAUCUAUUUUGAUGGUUGAUAAAAAGAUUCUUGUUUUUGAUAAUGCAUGUGUGAGUGAAUCUAUAGACCGUCGAUUAAUGCAUGGUAAUCUGAAUCUAUCCAUUCACAUGCGUUAUACCUGUUCUAUUAUGCUUAUAAUUGGACUACAAGCUUGUUUGUGUUGCUAUUUACUAUUUCAUGGCUAUUCUUUUCAGUGGACUCAAUUGCCAUUAGUCCCGUUCGAUCGAGGAAAAUCGAGUUCAUUUGAUUUUUAGAUUCGAGGACGAAUCUUUUUGAGGAAGGGGGAAUGAUACGAGUCACAAAGGCCCAACCCAAGCUUAAGAAGGUGGUGGGCUCAAAUCAAGAAAAUCAAGAUUCACUUUCUUGUUUUCAAGAAAAUCAAGAAAUCGAAUCUUGGCCCAAUUUUGCUGCUCGGAGCGAUUUCAAGAAUCAAGAAAAUCAAGAUUUCAAAUCUUGGAAAUCUUGGUCCAAGAAACCGAAUCUUGCAGCCAAAGCGCGUUGGAUCUCCAUUACGAGCGUCAACGACCCAAUUUCGGUAGGAGAUGGAUCACAAGCCCAAAUUCUUGAAGGCGAGGCCCAAUAACCAAAAUCCAGCCCAAUCAAGAAAUUUCUUCAUACUUAGUUGAAAAUCAGGCCAAAAUGUCAAAGGGCCCAAUUUUUAAACAUCUUACUUGUUUAAUUUAAUUUUUUAAUCUUUAGGAGCAUUACAUGUAAAAUUCGGCCCAAAACAGCCCAUAUAAGUGCAUGGCCGAAUUUACCUUGUUAUUUUAUUAAUUAGGUUUAAUUUUUUUAUUAGUUACUUGUGAGAUUAGGAUUUGUUGGAGGCCUAUAUAAGCAUUGGCCAGCCACCCUUUGUAAAAACAUCUUAUUAUUAUUUUUUCUAUCAAAUUUCAGAUUUGUUGAGUGCAGAAUUUUCUUUGGGGUUUUCUCCAAGAAUUCUCUCUUUAGUUUUCUUUAGAAGUUGUUUUAACAAUCUUUUGAUUGUGGGAGCCAUCUUCAACCUUCUUCUUGCCAUCGAUAUUCUUUGGAGGGGAGAUUAGAGCCGUUUGAAGAGAUUUGUGAAAUCUUUCGGGAUUUCAAGGAUCUUUAGGACUUAUCCUUUAAUUCUUGUUGUUUUCGAUUUCUUUCUUUACUUUUCUUUGCUUAUACUUGUGCCGAUUUCUCAUCUAAUAUUUUGCUGUUCUUGUUUCUUUUCCAGCAUUGAUUAAACUCAAGAUCUCAUCGUUUAAGUUGUUCUCCUAUUGGCAGCACCCAUUCGAACCCAAAAAUCCCCAAUUCCUAGGGUUUGGCCGAUUGGAUUUCUUUCAAUUUGGGAAUCAAUUGUUUGCUGGAAAUUGGGCAUUCUUGGCCGAAUCAAUUCCUUGGCAGAUUCGCAUCUUUUCUUUCUUCUCAAUUUCGUUUGAUUCAUCGAUUUUAUUUCUUUUCUUCUUGCUGCUCUUUUAAUUGAAUUUGGGAAUUUUAAAUUCAAAUCUGAUUCGGUUUAAUCUUAAUCUUUGUUUUUGAUUUCAGAUCUGUUCGUCUAGGAUCUUUCGUAGGAGUUUCUCGUGACUUGGCAACUCGAUCUUGGUCCGCGCACAUUUCGUAUCAUAUUGUAUUUAGUUUGCUGAUAUAGUACAAAAAACAAGUUAUACAAGUUAAAAAAAUCUGAAAAAAAUUGAAGUGAAAACUUGUUCUAUUGUAAUUUAGUCCCGAUCUUGAAGUCGUUCUUCCAUCUUUUCUUUCUACCAUAACCCAUCGCCACACCAAAACUCGAACUAAUACUUUUUUUUCCUUGUUAGCCUACCCUAAACCGAAUACAUUAGUCCAUUGAUUACUCCUUGAGCCGACCACCUAGACCAAGGUUUAAGCCUAAUGAAUCUGCUUACAAAAUCAUGAGAAAAGUUAAGAGAGGUAAAAAAAAAGAGUUGUGAGCGCAAUAGAGUGAGGUAAAAGCCUAUUCUCGACCAUAAACACGAGUGUGAGUGAAUCAUCUUUCUUUUCUUUUCGAGUGAUUGUGAGGUUUUUUUUUGUGGUGAGGUUUCUCUUUAACAAAUGGCACAAGAAAUCAAUCCCAACAUGGAAGAACGUCCGGCAAGACAACCCGUUCGCAAUGUUCCUGACCUAAACAUGCAAGCUCUAUUACAAGAAAUGGAGCACCUCCUAGACCGAAGGCUCAAUCCUAUUGAAGAUCGAUUAUUCGAAGUUGAAAUGAUAGGUCAGCAUGAAAGAACCCCCGAAGUUGUCAAACAAAGACUGGAAAGGCCAAACCGAAAUCAGGGAAGACGAAGGGUCCAAGACGAUGAAGUAAAUGGCCCCAGCGAUUUUGAAAGUGAACAAGAGUCUGCUGCUAGUAUUCGUCAGAGGGAAUCCCGACAUCGAGAUCGUAGACGAGAAGAUGACGAUCUCAAGAACAUCAAGCUGUCCAUUUCACCGUUCCAAGGUAGAUCGGAUCCGGAGGCCUAUCUUGAGUGGGAAAAAACAUAGAGUUGGUGUUCGAUUAUCAUAAUUACUCCGAGAAUAAAAAGGUGAAACUCGCAGCUAUAGAAUUUUCGGACUACGCCACGAUCUGAUGGGAUCAAAUAACCACUAGUCGAAGGCGAAACAGAGAACGUCCAAUUUUUACGUGGACCGAGAUAAAGGCGGCAUUGAGGCGAUGAUUUAUUCCUUCGUACUACCACCGGGAGUUGCACCAAAAACUCCAAAAUCUCACACAAGGGUCCAAAAGUGUCAAAGAUUACUACAAAGAGAUGGAAAUUGAGAUGAUUCGGGCGGACGCGCAAGAAGAUCCCGAAGCAACGAUGGCGCGAUUCUUGGUUGGUCUAAAUCGAGAUAUCGCCAAUAUGGUCGAAUUACAACACUACCUUGAAGUGGUUGACAUGGUCCAUAUGGCCAUCAAGGUAGAAAAACAACUCAAGCGAAAAGGCCCAAGCCGAGGAUUCUCCACUUCUAACACUUCAAAGUGGAGCCAAAGUUCGAGUAAAGGCCUUCCAGCCUUUCGAGGAAAAGAAUCCACUGCCCCUCAAAAAACCAACAAACCGAAUACCGAAAUUAACAAAGGCAAGGAACUGGAAACAUCGCUCAAUCAAAAUCGGGACAUCAAAUGUUUCAAGUGUCUCGGAAGAGGACACAUAGCCAGUCAGUGUCCAAAUCAAAGAACCAUGGUGUUGUGAGCCGAUGGCGAAGUUGAAACGGAGGACGAAGAAGAGAAAGAAUUUGAAUCAACUUCUAAAGUCGAGGAGGACUUAGAACAGCCCAUGGAAGGCGAAUUACUUGUUGUGAAGCGAAGUCUAAGUCUCCAAGGCACGAAAAAUGAUCUCCAACGAGAAAAUAUAUUUCAUACUCGUUGUUAAAUCGGAGGCAAAGUCUGUAGCGUCAUUAUUGACGAAGGCAGCUAUACCAAUGUAGCAAGUACCAUAAUGGUCGAAAAACUUGGUUUGCCUACUACCAAGCAUCCGAGCCCCUACAAACUUCAAUGGCUCAACGACGGCGGAGAACUUAAGGUAACAAAGCAAGUACUUGUCUCAUUCACUAUUAGUAAGUAUACGGACAAAGUACUUUGCGACGUUGUACCGAUGCAUGCGGGGCAUCUACUCCUUGGUCGCCCGUGGCAAUUUGACCGGCGGGUGCUACAUGACGGGUACACUAAUCGAUAUACCUUCAAGUUCAUGGGAAAGAACGUAACCUUGGCACCAUUAUCUCCCAAACAAGUGUACAAAGACCAAAUGAAAUUAAAAGUUUCUGUCGAACAAAUGAGAAUGAAAGAACAUGAAGAUUGUAAAAAAACAAAAUAAGAAAAAAAUAAGAAAAAGAAAAGAAAAGGAAGAUUGUAAAAAAACAAAAGAAGAAAAAAAUAAGAAAAAGAAAAGAAAAUCGAGAAAUAUAGUGUUUUUGCAAAAGCUAGUGACGUGAGAAAAGCUUUGAUGAUGAGACAACCUGUUCUUGUACUUCUGUAAAAGGAAACUUCAAUUACUACUAACGAUUUGCCCGACACCCUUCCCUCUCCUGUUCUUUCUUUGUUGCAGGAUUUCAAAGACGUUUUCCCGGAAGAAGUCCCAAGUGGUCUCCCACCACUUCGUGGGAUCGAACAUCAAAUAGAUUUUAUGCCGAGAGCUGUAAUCCCAAACUGACUUGCCUACUGAGCCAAUCCAGAGGAAACUAAAGAAUUACAAUGGCAAAUCCAAGAGUUGAUGGAAAAAGGCUACAUACGCGAGAGCCUUAGCCCCUGCGCUAUUCCUGUUCUGUUGGUGUCAAAAAAAGACUGGACAUGGUGGAUGUGAGUUGAUUGCCAAGCCGUCAAUAAAAUUAAAAUCAAAUAUCGUCAUCCCAUUCCUCGCUUAGAUGACAUGUUAGACGAACUUAGUGGAGCCACGGUUUUCUCAAAAAUCGACUUGAAAAGCGACUACCACCAAAUCUGAAUACGAGAGGGCGAUGAAUGGAAAAUAGCGUUCAAGACCAAAUACGGGUUAUACGAGUGGUUGGUUAUGCCUUUUGGUCUUACCAACGCGCCUAGCACGUUUAUUAGGUUAAUGAAUUACGUAAUAAGGUCCUUUAUCGGUAAGUUUUGUGUUGUAUAUUUUAACGAUAUAUUGAUCUAUAGCAAAUCCGUUGACGAGCAUGUAAGAUAUCUGAAAUCUGUUUUAGAAGUUUUGCGAAAAGAGACAUUAUAUGCUAACCUAAAAAAAUGUUCAUUUUGUUUUGAUAAAGUUGUCUUUCUAGGUUUUGUGGUUAGCGCGAAUGGUCUCGAGGUAGAUCAAGAGAAGAUUAAGGCCAUUCAAGAUUGGCCAACACCUAUGACUGUCACUCAAGUUAGGAGUUUUCAUGGACUUGCGAGUUUUUACCGACGCUUCAUACCAAACUUUAGCACUAUCGCUGCUCCUCUUACGAGCGUCAUCAAAAAGAAUUUCUCUUUCCGUUGGAGUGAUGAACAAGAAACUUCAUUUAAUAAAAUUAAAGUUUGCUUAACUAACGCUGAUUUACUUGUUCUUCCAGAUUUUGCGAAGACUUUCGAGAUCCAGUGCGAUGCCUCAGGUGUUGGAAUCAGUGCUAUUUUGACACAAGAGGGCCGACCUGUGGCUUACUUUAGUGAGAAACUCAGUGGAGCCGUACUCAACUAUCCGGUGUACGACAAAGAGAUGUACGCACUCAUACGGGCACUUGAGACGUGGUAAUAUUAUUUGUGGCCAAAGGAGUUCGUCAUACACUCCGAUCAUGAAUCCUUGAAGCAUAUCAAAGGCCAACAUAAAUUGAACCACCGCCGUGCGAAGUGGGUUGAAUAUCUCGAGUCAUUCCCAUAUGUCAUCAAGCACAAGAAAGGUAAAGAUAAUAUAGUGGUCGAUGCGCUUUCGAGAAGGUGUACCUUGUUAUCAUAUUUGGAUUCCAAAAUUCUAGGUUUUGCUUUAUUGAAAGAUUCUUAUGCUAAUGACUUUGAUUUUGGUGAAAUCUAUGUUACUUGCGAAAACGGUGUUUUUGACACUUUUUAUAGGUAUGAGGGCUUCCUUUUGAAGGAAGGUAAAUUAUGCAUUCCCUGCGGAUUUGUUCGAGACUUACUAGUGCACGAGGCACAUAGUGGCGGGCUUAUGGGCCAUUUCAGAAUCAAUAAGACGCUUGCCACUCUCCACGAACACCUCUAUUGGCCACGAAUGCGAAAGGACGUGGAGCGGGUUUGUGAGAGGUGUAUAGCAUGUAAGCAAGCUAAAUCGAAGGUUCAACCCCAUGGCUUAUACACGCCACUGCCCAUCCCUGAAGCGCCGUGGGUCGACAUUUUUAUGGACUUUGUUCUUGGACUACCGCGCAAAAAAACAGGGAAGGACUCUAUCUUUGUAGUUGUUGAUAGAUUCUCAAAAAUGUCUCAUUUUAUUGCCUGUACUAAAACUGACAAUGCUGUACAUGUUGCAAACUUGUUUUUCAGGGACAUAGUAUGACUCCAUGGCAUCCCUUGCACCAUUGUGUCGGAUCGAGAUUGAUACGAGCACGCCUCGCGAACUUUAUCGAGCAAGUCUGUCAAGCCGUGCAAUGACAUGUUGGCAAGCUGAUCCAAGCUCAUUUUCAGCUCCACGAGCUCUGUCCAGCUCAAAUCCAGCUUAUUCGAGCUUAAUCCAUCUUGCCUGAGCUAAACCGAGCUCACUCCUAGCUCACUUUCAACUUAUGAGCUAAACCUUAGCUCAACUUCAGCUUAGGAGUUUAGCCUCAGCUCAACUUUAGCUCACGAGCUAAAGCUUAACGCAUUUUAGUUUAAACUCGGUUUUCUCUUUAAUGCAUUAAAUAAAAAUUUGCACAUAUUUAUUUAAGCAUUAAACUUGUCUUAUAUUAAUAUUUGUUAUUAAUAUGCCAUAGUCAUUACAUAAAUUGAUUAUGUUCACAUAGUUGAAUUAAUGCAUAACAUUAAUGUGUUCACAUCAUGCCGAAUUUAUGAGUGUCCAUGAGAUAUCUUAAUGACUUGUUUAUUUCAUGUAGGUACAUUCCUUUGGAAGGUACAAUGUAUGGAUGAAGAAACAUCUCUUUUGGGCAUUCCACACUCAUGAAUGAAGAAGUAUUAAAUGCUGGUGCAUGUACGGCUAGAUGCAAUGUUUCUACAAAUUCAUGCAUGUGUCGAAUGCAUGUAUGGACAUUAAAGGCUAGUCCAUGAAUGGAUCAAAUGCAUGGGAUGAUAGAAUGCAUUAAUGGCUUAAGUGCAUGUAUGGUGGCUGUCUCCUAACUUUCCAAGGCACUUAUUCGGCCAAGAAGUGGCUGCUAACUAAUUCUAUGUUGACCAUAGAGCUCCUUGAACAUGUUCACACUUUGAAUUGAACUAUAGGCUACUACACAUGCAUGGAUGGGUUCAAGAACGUCCAAGGGAAGGAAUUAACUCAAUAAUUCAACACAUUGAUUGAAUUAAGUGCAUGCACAAAGGAGAGAACAAAUUUACUAGGUUCAUGCUGCCAUUUAUGAACUUACAUGCCAUUAAAGUGUUUAAUUAUGAAGAUACAUGUUUCAUACAAGUGCAUGAACGUCCCAAGGAGAUGAAUGCAACCUUUUGGUGCACAUACAAGUCACUUGAAGCCUUUCUUUAUGACUAAGCAUUCAUGCACAAACCAAGGGGGAAGAAAGUGUCCAUUCAGCUAGUGCAUGAAUCUGCCGAAUUUAUGAACUAUUUUAAUACAUUAGUGUGAACGUUUUUAUUCUUGUGUGAACACCUAGAUGCCGAAUUUGAAUGGUCAUCUAUGUGCCUAUAAAUAUUUGUUUUCUUUCAUUUGUAAAGGACUUUUGCCAAAAUUGUUAAUGAACAUUUGUUCUUGUGAGGUUGCUUCCUCUCAUAUCUCGUACAAGUUUCGAAAGACUUAUCUGGCUUGUGCUAGUGGCGUCAAUCGUCUUGUUUGAACUUAUCACCAAUCUUGGUGUGGUGUUCACCUAUCCAUCUAUCCAUCUUUUCACCUUAACAAUAUAGGAACCGAGGUGACACUUCUUAGUGUUGAAUCAUUCCUGACGUUGAGUUCGUUUUUUCAUUCCCCAUCUUUCAACUUUUCCUUCUUGUAAUCAAACCGACUCAUUUAUCCAUCACCCAUCUUUGGUACACAUAACCGAACCUAUUACUAAACUUACCCUUCUUGAAACCUUCCGCUUAUUCUAAUCCAUUAUUUUACUUUUAUUACUAAAAUCCGAGGCACGAACGACUCUCUCGAACUACGAUCGGGCAACUACGUGAAUUCGACUCAUCUACCCGAGCUGGAUCACAUCAGAAGCUUAUAUUAACUCUUCCAGAUAUUUGUUAUUAAUAUGUCAUAGAUAUCACAUAUCUUAAAUGUGUUCACAUUGUGCUGAAUUUAUGUGUGUUCACAUGAUGUCUUAUGAAUUGUUUUAUUUCUUAUAGGUGCAAUGCUCAUGGACGGCGCAAUGAAUGCUUGAAGAAACAUCUCUUUUGGACAUCCCACAUGCAUGAAUGAACAACAUUUAAUUAGGUGCAUGCAUGACCAGAUUCAAGGUGUUUACAAGUUCAUGUAUUUGUCAAAUACAUGAAUACACAAAAUACAUGAAUGUUUGGGUUCAAAUGCACAUUUGGUUACAUGAAUGAUGAAGAUUCAUGUAACACCCCGUACCCGAGACCGUUGCCGGAGUCGGACACGAGGGGUUCACAGACUAAAUUCGCUUACUAUCGCAGUCCAUUUUAAAUUUUUCCAGACAGCUAGCUAACUGUGUCACUGUCACCUUAAAAAUCAUAUCUUGAGUUUCACAACUCGAAAAUCAGUUUCGUGAUUUUUCCCUGAAACUAGACUCCUAUGUCCAUCUACAUAUUUUUUUCUAGAAUUUUUGGUCGGGAAAAUUAGUACAGUUUAUUAGUUAAAGUCUCCCCUAUUACAGGGUGCGACUACACUGACCUUCAUGCAUUACAAUUUGGAUAUUUCCCUGUACAGGGCUUCAAUACUGAUGACGUUUGUUUCUAUAGAAACCAGACUCAGAUAGGAAUCUAUACAUAUAUGGCAUGACUCCUAAUUAUCUCUGGUUAAUUUAUAAUGAAUUUCCAAAGUCGGAAUAGGGAAUCCAGAAACCGUUCUGGCCCUGUCUCACGAAAACCUAAUUAUCUCUUAACAUACCACUCAUAUGACCGUUUCGUUUCUUCCAUAUGAAAGUGGAUUCAUCAAGGUUCAUUUAAAUAAUUUAUUCAUUAUUUAAUUCUAUUCCUACUAUUUUUAGUGAUUUUCCAAAUCUACAUCACUGCUGCUGUCAGCAUCUGCCUUUAAGGUAGACUUUACCUAUUUCAUAGUUUCCAUGAUUCAACUAGCCCUUUUAGCAUAAAUAGCACAAAUUAUGAUAGUGAUUAACCAUUCCCAUGGCCAAUCCUUGUUAAGCAUAUCCACACCUCUCAAUAACCAUAUCCAUACCAAAUGAUUAUAACAUUAUGCUCAAACAUAUAUAAGCCAUUUUCGCAUGGCUAUCCAAAAUUAUACAAAUCCAAAGGGUCCAUGACCCACUACAAAAAGGGUAGUCCUAUACAUGCCAUUUUCAGAGUUCAACCAAAAGUGUACCAAAAGGGCUUUGAUAGUGUGGGUGACUUCGACUUCAAUAAUCCUGAGUCCGAUAGCUGACGAACCAAAAUCUAUAAAACAGAGAUUCAAAGAACGGAGUAAGCAUUUAAUGCUUAGUAAGUUUUAAGCAAGACAAAGUAUUCUCAAUCACUAUUAUUGGUCAUUCAUUUCAACUGUUCGAUGAAGUUAAUCUAGAGCUUCAUCUCGAUCUAUAAUAUCAUUAAACGCAACACUUGGCUGCCACAUAUAUACUUUCAAAUAAUAAUGACCUAGAUGGUCAAAUAUUUCCAAAGCACAUUCUUCAUCGAUUUUCAACUUUCAAUAAUCCUUUCCACUUGUUCAUAAUCAUAUCCAUACUUUUAAGUAUUUCAACAUGACAAGUACUAAAUUACCAUAGGCACAUAAAGAACCAACAUAUUCCUUAUCACAUAUAUGUAAGCUUACAAAUCAUAAUCCUUACCUUGUACUGGCACAUCUAGCUCAACCCAACCCAUACUCAGAUCAUAAGGCUUUUGGGCAGAAUAUGCACUAAUACAUAAGAAUAUUUCAUCGCAUACUUUAUUAUACAAACAUACCAUUACCAAUUAGAUCAUUCUCACAUUUGGAGUUAUAAUAUUAAUCACAUUUACCUACCUCUUUGAUACUGAUAAUUCACCUCGAAAUCACUCCACCGAUGAGUAAGUAAUACGUACCUGAACAUCUUGAAUACAUAAUACUUAUUUGAUGGUAACUUAAUGCAGAUACUCAAUAUCAAAGUCUUACUUGAAUCCUAAAAUUUAGCCGUCGGGUCUUUAAAGCUCGGAUAUAGUACGAGCACGAAGCCUACGGACAUUAAUCAGGAUAAUAUUCUCGCAUAAAGCCUGCGGGGUUUUAACCCGGAUAUAGUACUGACACAAUUGCCCUUCGGGACUUAUCACAUUUAUACACUUCCACAUCCAUCACAUUGGCCAUUCAGCCUUAUCACAUAUAUACACUUUCACAUUCAUCACAUUGGCCAUUCGGCCUUAUCUCAUAUAUGCAUGUUCACAUUCAUCACAUUGGCCAUUCGGCCUUAUCACACAUACACAUGUUCACAUUCAUCACAUUGGCCAUUCGGCCUUAUCACACAUACACAUGUUCACAUUCAUCACAUUGGCCAUUCGGCCUUAUCACACAUACACAUGUUCACAUUCAUCACAUUGGCCAUUCGGCCUUAUCACGCAUAUAUAUACUUUCACAUUCAUCACAUUGGCCACUCGGCCCUAUCACAUAUAUAUACUUGUACAUCAAUUUCAUCAUAACAAAAUUGACUAGGUAUACUAGUCAUUUGUGGCUUAUAGCUUCACUUUAAUACGAAUUUGGUACUUUGAUUACCAAUGUUUAAUCGAUAGCUUAUAAGCAACUCAAAUGGUUUUAUUAAGGUUUACAACAAAAUUCCAAAUUCAGCACAAGCUGUUUUUUUCUGAGCAACAGUCAUUAAAUUAUUCGUAAAUGGAGCUACGAAACUCCAAAUGGAGUGCCGUUAAUUUUCCCUGGAAAUAGACUCAUACAUAUCUUAUCCAGAAAAUUUUCAGAAUUUUUGGUUUGGCCAAUCAAUACCAGAUUUUUCUUAAAGUUUCCCCUGUUUCACUGUUUGACUAAUCUGACCACUCUUCACUACGAAUCAAAUUUCUCAUUGUACGGAAUUAAAAAUAUGUUCUAUUUGAUUUUAUUUGAAACUAGACUCAUUAAGGAGUCUAGGAAUAUAAAUUUUAUCUUAUAACCAUUUUUGUACAAAUUAUAAUGAUUUUUCUAAAAACAGAACAGGGGAUUUCGGAGUCAUUCUGACACUGUCCCACACAAAUUUAAAUAUCUCUUUAUAGGAAAUUUCUUUGCUUCCACAGUCUCUUUUAUAAGAAACUAGACUAAAUAAACUUUGAUUACAUAUUUUAUUCAGCCUAUAAUUUCACACCAACAAUUUAUAGUGAUUUUCUAAAAUCACGUUACUGCUGCUGUCCAAAGCAAAUUAUUACAAUUUGCUCUUAAAUUUCCAAGUCCAAACACUUAUGAACUUACCAUUUGAGUUUAAGACAUAUCAUGGCCACAUCAUAUCUUAUUAAAUCAACUCAUUAUGUCCUAUUAUGACUGAAUUUACUCAACGUUUAAUCACUUAAAACUUACCUCAGAGGUGGUCGAACGAUUUCGGCGGCUAUUCGAUCACUUUUUUCCUUCCCUUUAUCGGAUUUAGUUCCCCUUUGCUCUUGAGCUUAAUUUAACAAAUAAAUUGAUUUAAUCAUUUGAACAUCGAAAAGAGAAAAUCAAGGUACUUAACCCAUAUAUAUACAUUAGACAUUAAAGUCACAUACAUAUGAAAUCAUGAAUCAACUCAACAUAUUAACCCACACUCUCUUUUAGCCGAUUGUCUAAGCCAAGAUUAAGCCACCAAUAUGCUUACUUAUGGCCGAACAUACACAUCAACUUAUGUACUCAUUCAUGUUGCCGAACAUACAUGUCUAUGUUGAGGCCGAUUGCAACACUUAAUACAUUCUACAAGUAUGGUCACUUGUAUUGACUAAACACCAUUUUGUUUCAAGUUCAAAACUUGGCCAAUACACAUAUAUACACUAGUAAAGCAUCCUCUCCCUUUCCAUCAAUUCAACACAUGCAUUACUCAUUAAUAUACAAAAUUAUAUUCGGCCUUAGCACACAACUUGCUAGCCGAUUCUUCUCCAUCUAGCAACUAAUGCACAUAUGUGCUCAUUUGUUAGACUCUACUUCAUCUAACAACAACCAUAUUUUCCCUUCUACUUCCUACCAUGGCCGGAUGCUCAAGAUACCUCAAUAUCGAAACUUUUAGCUUGGAUUGCUUAAAGAACUUGGUGAUGAGUUCAAAUUUACCUAACACCUCAAGCCUCAUAACACAUCUAUAUAGCUAACAUGCUAAUAGUCUCAAGGCUUCAACUAAAACUUUUGAAGCCUCUUAGUCGAAUACUAACUCUCUAAUAAUCCCAAAUCAUCCAUGAGAUAGUUAGAAUUUAGACUAAUCAUCCAAGGGAUGUAUGAACUUUCAAAGCAACACUAAACAUACCUUAAUCUAGUGAGCCUUCAUAGCCGAUUUUUCUCCAAGCUCAUUCCCUUCCUUUCUUUCUUCUAUUCGGCCAAAGAUGUUCAAGGAUGAACACUUUUUUUUCUUUGUUUCCUUUCUUCCAUUCACGGCAAAGGGGGGGCAUGGAUGAGACCAUUUUUUUUUCAUCACUCCACCUUUUUGCAUUACUUUAAUCCUAACCCCUUUUUUUUAUUCUUUCUAACAUAACUCACUAACACAACAUGUUUGCAACAUGUUUCCACCCAUAGCAUGGCCGGCCACUAUGCUUUAAUUUUGGGUAAUUUGACAUGCAAACCCAUCAUUUCACAACAUGCAUUAUUAGGCCACUUUACAUUUGCCUAGCACAUUUCCAAAUUUUCUCACAUAAGUCCUAUUUGAUAAAAUUCACUUACUAUUAACAAAAUUCAAACAUGAAAUUUUCACACAUGCAUAUGUACAUAUAAUGAGCAUCAACUAUGACGGUUAAUUAUCUUUAUGACUCGAUUUAGUGGUCCCGAAACCACUUUCCAACUAGGGUCACUGUAGGGGUGUCACAAUUCAUGCAUGAAUGUAUCUAAAAGAUCCAAUCCCUUUGGACGACACACAUUCAUGCAUGGAAGGAAAUUAAUGCAAGUUCAUGUAGGGCUUGGUGCAAUGUAUGAAGAGGUGCAUAUAGAAUUGAGGUUCAAUGGAUAGCAUUUAAGGGAGUACAUGUAUUGGAGAUGUUCAUGCAAGUAGGGGCUAUUUAAUGUUCAUGAUUUUGAAGGUUCAUGGACCGAAUUUAUGGAGGAACAUACAUUGGGACGUUUCAUGCAUGAUCCAUGCAUUUUCAAGCUAACCAUUCAAGUAUUCAAGGUGCAUUAAAGCUUCAUUCGGCCAAGGGGGAUGAUGGAACAUUAAAGGGAUGCACAUUCAUGGAUAUUCAUGAUUUUUAUUCUAGAAUUAUCUAGGUGUUUAUAGCCGAAUUUCUUAGCUUCUAAGCUUGUCCAUUCGGCUACUUUUAUUUAGGCUAUAAAUAUAUGUUAUUUCAUUUGUAAGAGGUUAGACUUUUCACUUAAUGAAACUUUGUUAAAAUUUCAUGGAAUUUGUGAGAUUUCUUUUUCUCAUAUUUUGUUGAGGACUUCAUUGGCUUAUCUAGGAAGCCUAGUGGCAUCAACCCUGUUCUUCACUAUCCCAAACUUAUCACUAUCAAAUAGUGUGGCGUUCACCCAUUUACCGAGGUUCCUACUUUGUUAAGUAGUGGGUCGAGGUUCUAUCAUUUUCAUUUUCACCUUGAAAGCGUAUAAGUACUUGGGUCAAUAUUUCCUAAUAUAGGUUCUUACUUGCUUUUAAGUUCACCAUCUUCCAUAACCAUCAUUUAUUAAACUACCUUCAAUCUAUUUUCAUUCUUUUGUUUCUUUUAAAACCGAACCUUUAAUAUU